CAGGGGCCAGGGGGUCUGGUUUUAUAGUCCCUUCAAGUGAAUCUGGGCCAUUGGAUCAAACCGACAUUGAUCGUGUGGUUUUCCUUGAUCCUUUAAGUCGGUGGAGCAAUAUCCCGAAAGAGAGUCCUGAUUGGACUCUGGUUGAGGGCGGGCGCCCAGGAAAGGUGGGCGGGCGCCCUGUCCCUGAGUCCUCUCGGCCUCCGCUUCCUUCCCGUGGCUUCUGGAGUCUUCUAGAUGGUAGAAAAUUGCGCAGGACGUUAAUAUCUCUAUGUAAACCCGACGUGUGGGUCUUUCUUCCGUAUUUCCUGAUAACCCCCUGCAGAAAUAGACAAACACCAAAACUCAUGGAAUUCUGUCAGAUAAAACCCUAAGUCUAGGUGUUGGUUGCAUAUAGAUCAUUUUCCAUGAUUAGUUGAUGGUUAAAUGUGAGCAUUAAGGACCGUCAACAAGCUCCCCCAAGCUUAACCUUUGCUCGUCCCUGAGCAAAGAUGAACUCAAGAGUUUCUGCAGUGGUUUCAUAACUCAAAGAUACACAUGCGUUUAAACAAGAUCUCAUCUCUGGUUAGAGUAAACUGUUAAGACUUAAAACUUACUCAUUUACCUUUCACCAUGGGACUUGUAACCGUCACUUCUGUCUUGAGUAGUUAAAAGAUAGAACGGUCUAGUCAAGCACCAUGUCUCUUAUUCUUGAUCAGCUAUAGCUCUAUAGUUUUUUGCAGAUUUUCAAAUAAAACUCAGAGAUUCCUUGUAUGACUCUCUCUAGUCUCUCUUUUGUGGUAUUUCUGGAUCCUUACCAAGGCAUUAAUGGUGUAUGCCUUCUCUCAAAGUAUGUGGUAUUUGUGGUAUAAGGCAUAGUGGCAUUGCCUUCUCUCUCACCCUACUCUAAUAAGGCUUUUGAUAUCUGGAGCUCAUAGGUGGGAGACAGCUAAUACAUACUUACAAGACAUUUAUUGCAUAGUCAAACCAUGGAUCCAGAAGAACAAGUCAAUAAGUCAAAUCAAGAUGUGCAUGUGUGGCGAAUGUAUGGUGUUUGGUGAUGAUGGUGAUAACAAUGGUGAAAGUCUAAUUCUACUUAUGCUCUUUUGAGGGGAUACAUACCUUUCUUGCUCUUUUGGAACUUUUUGAGGAGAAUGAGAUGCUCUAUAUUUUCUUUUUCUUUCCUCUCAGGUGGGUAUCUUGUACCCCUAAUUCUACUGUCGGACACUUGUCCAUUUUUACCUCUCGUCUCACUUCUUUUUUUUUCUUCUUUUUUUCCAAGGUUCCGGGCACUUGCCCCUUUUUAUUUCCUCGUAUUCUUUCUCUUUUUUUUUCUUUUUUUAGAGCACUCAUCUCAUGAGAUAAUGUAGCAAGUGGUAGUAACAAGAUAACUUGAGCAUUUAUUUCACAGGGGAAAACAGAAAUGUUUUUGGCUAUUCUCUCCCGGAUUAGGAGUAGAAUAUUUUUAGGUGAUUCUAGAGAUGGAAAUGGGUGGAUAUAUGUGGAUGGUACUUCUGGAGUAGAAGUAGCAUGUGUGAGUGAACGUACAAGUGAAUCUUGAUUUAACCACAUGACAAGCUCCUAAGGGUCUACACAGCUUGACCACACUGAAUGCUCAUAAGCAGUAAAAAGUAAAUGUGUGGCUCAAUGUCUAGCAAGCAUGUAUAUAUGGCUGUGGUAGGAAUUUAAACUCUCGUCAUACAGGAACUCAUCAUGCAACAUUUUAAAGAUUUUCAAAGAUAAAAUUCUCCAGAAUUCUAGCAUCUCUAGGAACAGAUAAACAGCAGCUCAACCUUUCCAUAUCAUAUCCGUUAACGACUUAGACUUUAGAUCAAGUACUCUUCCCACAAGUUCAGGUUUAGAGCAAAUCUUAAUUAAUAACAGUGAUGCCUAAACUUGAGAGAGAUUUCAAUUUUGAGAACUAGUCAUGGCAGAGCAACUAUUCAUCUUUCCAUGUGAGAGCUUAUCAUGAGGGUUCAUAGCAAAUUUUAUUUAUUUAUUUAUUUAGCAAACUAAGCAAAGAUAUAUAUAUAAGCACAAAAUCUUUAUUUGGGUUUUUAUGAUUAUGCAUCUUUUUAUUAUUAGAGUAAAGUAUAAACGUGAGUGGAAUACUUAGCUGGAUAAAUGGGGGUGCUCUCCCCCAAGCUGGAUUUUGACGUAAUUUCUUCUGAUAUAGCUAGUAGGUGGUGGAGGUGUAUUUGAAUGUCAGCAGCACCCUGACAGUGAUUAGGAUGUCCUCCAUGUGCUAGUUUUCUUUGAUCCUUGAAUUUUGUGGAGCUCAAAUAGACAACAAAGCUUUGUGGAACUAGUUAAGUGUUAGCAUAAAUAUCUAGCCUUUAUCAUGUUGAGCUUCCUCAAUAAAUAUUACUCUCUUUAGUAGGAUCAUAAAUUUAUUUUUAUAAUUUAAUUUUUUAUAGGACAGGAAUAUACUUAUUUUAUUUUUACGCCACCACAGUGAAUGUACUUAUGGGUUUUAUGCCAUGAGCAUACUCACAUGGGGCUUACUAUUUUUAACAUUUUAUUUUCUUUUCAAGAUGAUAUGAACCUGAUUAACUAAGCAAACUAUUUUAAAUAGUUGAAAGGAAAAAGAUAACUACCAAGUUUACCUCUUGGCAAGGCGUUCGGUGUUUUUAAGUCAUCCGAACGGGACUCUCCAUUUUCUCAGUUGUCUUGGGCUUCGCUGGAUGGCGUAGUCGGUGGUUCCGGUGGAGCCUGCUCUUCAUGUAUAACUAUCUUUUUUUUCUCCACACCUGACUCGAUGCUACGGUCUCCUCAGGACAGUUCUGUUCAAGUUGUAUGUCUUCAGACCUUACCACUUCUCCUUCAUAGUCCGCCCAUCCAUCCUUGAUGAUUUGCCUUCUCUGGUUGCGGUUGCGUCAUCUUCUUCUUGUCCUGACCUGCAUAGCGUCUUCAACUAUAUAGUUAAGGUCAGUAAAAUAGCGGCGUACCUUCUCAGAGGGGAAGUUCAUGAGGACUUCUCCGGUUCCAAUGUAGAUGAUUGCUUUAACGGUGCUGAGGAACUGUCUUCCAAGGAUGAUGGGUGGAUCGUACUCGUCUUCUCCCAUGUUGAUAACCUUUUGGAAUGUCUGAUCUGCCAUCUGGAGCUGAAUGUAUGUCGGUUUUAGGGGCAUGGUUCCGAACAGGAACUGAUAGGUGACUGCGGCUAUUAUGUUGACGCCUGACCUGGUGUCACAAAGCAUCUUUUGGAAGUUAUAUCCAUUAAUGGAGCACUGGAUGCUUGGCAUACUUGGGUCGUCCUUUUUGGUCAGGAACAGUGACUUAAGUCGACGGGCUUGUCCUCCUUGAACUGUAGUGACCAUCUUAGCUGACUUGGUCCACACUUGCUUGUUCCUGUUCCUCCGAUUGGUCCUCUUCCUUGGUUCAUGUCGGGAUUGCUCUGAGACUUGUGUAGUCUUGUUCUUGAAGGAAAACGUCUCCUUCCUGCCCUCGAUGUAGAAACUGAUCUUGGCAGCACUAGCGUAGAUGACAGCUCCUGAGGUGUUCAGGAAUGGCCUCCCUAGGAUGAUGGGUGCCCUCUCAUCAAUACCAGUCUCUAUCACCACGAAGUCUGCUGGGGCGUACAAGGUACCAACUUGGACACAGAGGUUCUUCAAUAUUCCCUUUGGGAAACUUAGCGUACGAUCUGCAAGCUGCAAACACAUGGCUGUUUCUAAUAAAGGAUGUGUAAAUAAUUUUUCAUAGAGUACCCUGGGCGUAAUGUUGACACUGGAGCCAAAGUCGCAGAGUGCUUCUAGGAAGUCCACCAUGCCGAUGGAGAUCGGGAUGACGGGGCGUCUUGGAUCGUCUCUCUUGACCGGCAGAAGGUCAGUGAUUACUUCCACAACGGGGUUACUCCAGUAGUUACGUCCUCAAGAAUCUCAGGGUAGUGAUUGCCUGAGUGUCCAGUAUCUCCAGUGUGUUUGUGCUCGUAGAUCUAGGUUCUUCACUUGGUGGAGUCUGGGAGUUGUAAAAGUCCUUCAUAUUUUGCUCGAAGUGUACCUGCUCAUAGAGACAAGGCAGAGAUCAAGUGUAUGGGCCCUGUUGGUGGAAAACACCAACAGAACCAAAAGUGUAUUUGUUCUUCUCUAACCUUAAGCAUAGUGAGCAAGACAAAGUUAAUGGAUAAUAAAAUCAUGAGUGUAGCAUUUAAAACAUUUGUCAGAUCAGAUCGCUCAACCUAAUGGAAAGAUAAUCUAUCUAUAUUUAUGUUGUUUUUUUUUAUAAAAUAUAUCCUCCAAAGAUUGAGUGUGCAACAUUUUAGCUCAUAAGAUUAGGAGUGUGGGAUCACAAAGGUGGAAGGACUAAACAUGUUGAAUCGAUUGGGUUGGUUAAUCUAUAGUGGUAAAUCAUACGUGUAUGUCUCUUUUAUUCAUGUGAACGCCAGAACAAAGGAGAAGCUUAUAAAAGUGAUAGUCAAAUACCUUAAGAUGUUACCUUACUUGAAGAGUGAUGGUACGGUAUCUCCUUGUGGAAGAUUUCCUUUCUUAGCGGUUGUGCAUCGUGUUUGUAGCACCCUCCAUGGAUCAUCUCUUGUGAGCUAUGUCUUCCUUGUGUAAAUUGUUAAACUUCAUGUGCCUCUCUCUUUGUCAAAAAUGUGAGUGUAUCUCAGGACUUCCCAGGUCGAUAGUGAAAGUUUUCCUGCAGGGGUUAGUCCAACAAAAUAUCCCAUAUCUACUAUAGCAUACUAUCGGCCCACAAAUCAACCUAGACACCAUGUCUAAUUUGAUUUAGGAGGGCUUUUUUAACCUAAGCACCAUGCUUAAUUUAAAACCCCUUGGAAGUAAGAUCAUCAUUCCUAAACUAAGCACCAAGCUCAAUUAAGAGAUAAAUGAAACUACUCCAAACCUAGACAUAUACUAAAGCAAAUAAAGGUAGCAUGAGAGCAUUUAUAGAGAUCUACUCAAGUGGAGAUGAAGUAGUGUGAUUAGUAUUUAACAAAUUGAGCAUGUCUCAAAGGUAGGGACAACCAACAUAGCAACAUAGCAAAGGAUGUUUUUAUGUAAAGUACUCCCCCAAGCUUGAAUUUUGCAAAAUUCAAGUUUGGAUGAAUUUAUUUCAAUGUUGUAAGAUGAUUGGUUGGACAUACCUUGUGCUUGUCAUUCAUCCGAUCUUCUUGCUCCAAUCCUGGAAAGGUUAGUGACAAGAAUACCCGAAGGGAUAUUUUUUUUCAAUUGUCCUUAUAUGGUCAACACACAAGGUAAUGUUGCAAAUAAUUAAAAGAUCAUGUUAUGAUCUGAUCAGUGCUUGUUUUAGGACACUAAGCUUGUCCUUGGGAAACCAUCAAUUUAUGUCUGCGAAGUGGUUUCCCCUCCAACGCUGACCUAUAUCAAGAUCAACUCAACGAGAUCUGCAAUAUUUAAUAUAGACAUAUGCAUCGACAACCGCUCUUUUAAAGUUUUUAUAAAUAGAAAGGAAGUGGGGGUUGGAGAUCUCGAAUGUGGUGAUGUUGGAGAGACCAAUGGAUUGUGAAGAUGUUGCAUAUGGGCAUGGAGUAAAUGAAGUGGCUAUGAAAUAAAUUCCAUGCUCAUUAAUGCUUAGAGUGAAAUCCAUGUGGUAUGGUGAAAAUGAUAAGGUGAGUGUGGUAAAAAAGGAAAAGAAAAAGGAUACACGGACGACUUGGUUCGAAACUAGCACGGCUACCGUUCCCCGGCAACGGUGCCAGAAAGCUUGUUGGGUAUUUUAAACGCAAACAGAAAAAUCCGCAAGCGCACGGAUACCGAUGUAGCUUUCACCCGGGAGUAUUCCAAAGUAUCGAUUUUCCACAAAGAACGUGAGUGUACUAAUUAAGAUCCAAGAUCGCCCAAGGAUAACUAUAUAAUUAUUUUUGGUGGAAAGAGAGGAAGUUUCCUGAGAGUUCUCUAGUUGAUCUAAGAAUCAAGGAUUACUUCAAGAUUAUCUAUAUCGGGACAUCAGAGCACUAACCACAGAAAGAGAUGAGAAGGGGGCUAGGAAGGUCUGACUACGGUCCUACAAACACCGAUCCGAACGUGGUGGAAUACGUCGACCGUUAGGGCUGUCACUACCCUAAGGCUACCACAACAAUCCGCAGGAUUGGGUGCAAUUCCAGGUAAUCGCAAGACUAAACACCAUGUCUAAUCUAUUAAUUACUACUCUAGCGUUAUAAAGACUAGAGCAUUUGAUGCAAGCGGGAAUCCAAUAAAUAACUUGAAUGUAAAUAAAAGUAAUUAGAGAACUCAGGAGUUAUGAAUUGAAGAACCUGGAGAACGAUGAAGAACGAACCAGUUGCUGCAAAAGUACAAUGUUGAGGAAGAUCCGACAGAUCCGGCUCUUCCUCCGCUCUCCUCUUCUCUCUCCCUAUUUUCUAGAUUACAACUAGAACUAACUAGAACUAGAACUAGAGGAACUAGAACUAGAACUAGAUGAACUAGAACUAGAUCUAGAUGAACUAGAGGUAGAACUAGAAGAACUAGAGGGAUCCUCUCUACUUGGAUGAAGAAUUGAAACCCUAACUUUGAUUCUGUAGAAGAGGUAUGAUCUCCAGGGGCCAGGGGGGUCUGGUUUUAUAGUCCCUUCAAGUGAAUCUGGGCCAUUGGAUCAAACCGACAUUGAUCGUGUGGUUUUCCUUGAUCCUUUAAGUCGGUGGAGCAAUAUCCCGAAAGAGAGUCCUGAUUGGACUCUGGCUGAGGGCGGGCGCCCAGGAAAGGUGGGCGGGCGCCCUGUCCCUGAGUCCUCUCGGCCUCCGCUUCCUUCCCGUGGCUUCUGGAGUCUUCUAGAUGGUAGAAAAUUGCACAGCACGUUAAUAUCUCUAUGUAAACCCGACGUGUGGGCCUUUCUUCCGUAUUUCCUGAUAACCCCCUGCAGAAAUAGACAAACACCAAAACUCGUGGAAUUCUGUCAGAUAAAACCCUAAGUCUAGGUGUUGGUUGCAUAUAGAUCCUUUUCCAUGAUUAGUUGAUGGUUAAAUGUGAGCAUUAAGGACCGUCAACACUCACCAUUCUUCCAAUUCUCAUAGUUGCAUUCUUCUAUAAUCUCCAGCAACAUCUAGGUUCAUAUUCCAUGUCUUUAUGGCCCAGUGUGCUUUGAACUCUAGUUCAACAGGUAGGUGGCAAGUCUUCCCGUACACCAAUUGGUAUGGAGACAUUCCAAUUGGAGUCCUGUAUGCUGUCCGGUAUGCCCAGAGUGCAUCGGGUAACUUGUCUUUCCAUGCCGUUCCCAUUUCAUUUACUGUCUUCUAAAGAAUAUUCUUGAUUUGUUUGUUGGAACUCUCUGCUUGGCCACUUGUCUGAGGAUGAUAGGGGGUAGCGACGUUGUGACGGAUUCCAUGUUUUGAUAGAUAUUGCUUGAAGCGUUUAUCGAUGAAGUGUGCUCCUCCAUCACUUAUCACUACUCUGGGAACUCCAAAUCUUGGAAAUAUAAUUCUUCAAACAUCCUCUUUGAACUGAUGUUGUCAGCAUGCUUGCAAGGUAAUGCCUCUACCCACUUGGAGACGUAGUCAACUGCCACCAAGAUGUACUCACACUUCUUUGAUGGAGGAAAUGGACCCAUAUAGUCUAUUCCCCAGACAUCAAAGAGCUCAAUCUGAAGGUUGUUGGUGAGUGGCAUUGCAUCCCUUGUAUUUAUGUUUCCGUGACUUUGACAUGGCCCAUAUCUUCUGAUAUAUUGCUUCGUGUCUUCAUACAUUGUAGGCCAGUAGAAUCCACACUGCUAGAUCUUUGAAUGUGUAUGGAAUGCUCCAUAGUGACCUCCAUAUGGUGAUGAAUGACAUCUGUCGAUGAUCUUCCAUCCUUCCUUAGUGGUGACACAUCUCCUGAGUAAGCCAUCAGAGCAUACUCGGAAGAGGUAUGGCUCAUCCCAUAUAUGUGAACGACAUUCUUGAAUAAGCUUCUUCUUGUUUGCUCCUGGCGGUACAUACCCUGAAACCAUAAAAUUAACAAUAUCUGCAUACCAGGGGUCAGACCUGUUAAUCCCGUAGAGCAUGUCAUCCCGGAGUGAAUCAUUGAUGGUGGUUUCCUGUGGAUUCUUAAAAUACAUUCUAGACAAGUGAUCUACAACAAAAUUUUCUACUCCCUUUUUAUCUUUUAUUUCUAAGUCAAAUUCUUGGAGUAAGAAGAUCCAUCUAAUCAGGCGAGGUUUAGCAUCUUUUUAGUGAGCAAAUAUUUUAGUGCAGCAUGAUCAGUGUAAACAAUUAUUUUAGCUCCAACUAAAUAAGAUCUAAAUUUAUCAAUGGCAAAGACAACAGCCAGAAGCACUUUUUCAGUGGUUGCAUAGUUAAGUUGAGCUCCUGUCAAAGUUUUACUGGCAUAAGCAAUUGCAUGAUGCUUCUUAUUUUUAGUUUGUCCCAAAACUGCCCCCACAGCAUAAUCACUAGCAUCACACAUAAUUUCAAAAGGCAACGACCUAUCAGGGGGUUGAAUGAUUGGUGCAGAGAUGAGUGCUUUCUUUAAUAAAUUGAAAGAUGUUAGACAUGCAUCAUCAAAUUCGAAAGGAGCAUCCUUGGCUAGCAAAAGAGUAAGUGGUCUAGCAAUGAAUGAAAAACCUUUUAUGAAUCUACGAUAAAAACCAGCAUGGCCAAGAAAGCUUCGAAUUCCUUUUAUAUUCACAGGUGGAGGUAGUUGUUCAAUUACUUCAAUUUUAGCUUUGUCUACCUCAAUACCUCUUUCAGACACUAGGUGUCCCAGCACUAUUCCUUCCCUAAACAUGAAAUGACAUUUUUCCCAAUUUAGGACUAAGUGGUUUUCUUCACAUCUUUGCAAAACCUUGUCUAUGUUUUCAAGACAACUAUCAAAAGUUUUUCCAUAUACAGAGAAAUCAUCCAUGAAAACUUCCAUAAUCUCUUCAAUCAUAUCAGAAAAUAUAGACAUCAUGCAUCUUUGAAAAGAAGCUGGUGCAUUACAUAACCUAAAAGACAUUCUUCGGUAAGCAUAAGUUCCAUAUGGGUAUGUAAAAGUGGUUUUGCUUUGAUCAUCAGGAUGGAUCGGGAUCUGAUGAUACUCUGAAUAUCCAUCUAAGAAACAGAAGAACGAAUGGUUCGCUAAUCGCUCUAGCAUCUCAUCUAUGAAAGGUAAAGGAAAAUGAUCCUUUCUUGUGGCUUUGUUCAGUUUUCUAUAAUCUAUGCACAUCCGCCAUCCUUUGACGGUGCGUUGCGGAAUUAGCUCGUUCUUUUCAUUCAUAAUAAUAGUCAUGCCUCCCUUUUUAGGCACAACUUGUACUGGGCUCACCCACUCACUAUGCGGCACAGGAUAUAUAAUCCCUGCAUCCAGCAACUUUAUAACUUCCUUUUUAACUACCUCUCUCGUAGUGUUGUUAAGUCUACGUUGGGGUUCUCGAGAAGGUGAAACAGAAGGAUCUGUCGAAAUACGAAGGGUACAAAUCAUAUGACUGAUUCCUGUAAGAUCUUGGAGUGAGUAGCCAAAAACUGAGUGAUGUUUCUCAAGAAUGGUCAUUAAUCGCAGAGUUUGCUCCUGAGUGAGUUUAUUACUAAUGAUCAUGGAAACUCUGGAUUAUUGUUUAGGAAAGCAUAGAUUAGACCGGGUGGUAAAGUUUUAAGCUCUAUGGGAGGUCUAGGUGUUUCUGCAAACUCAUCUAAGGGUUCAGGUUCAGAAGGUUCGGCCUCCUCUUCUGUGAAGAAAGGAGCUUCUUCUUCUAAGUCUGAUUCAUCUAAAAGCUCUAGAGAUGCAGCCUUUACCUCCUCCAUAGGAUCAGGCAAAAGAUAUGACUCAGCCUUAUUGUUUAAGGAAUGUGAAAUUGUUAUUGGGAUUUUAAAGGUUUUCCCAAAAGAAAUGUGUAGCUUUCCAGUAUGACCUUCAUAAAGGAGUCUUCUAAAAGGUUGUCCUAUCAACAGGUCAAAGUCCCGUGUAUCAAAGAUAUAGAAGUUCAAAUGAACCAUGGAGACUUCUACCGUAAGAGGUAGGACAUUAAUAAUUCCAAGACUGGGGACUAAUCGUCCUGAAGAUUCCUUUAUGACCUUUGUUGUGGGGGUUAAGACAAGAUUUUUAAAUAGUUUAAGUGCAAAAGAUUUAGACAUGAUGUUGAUCCCCACAACAGGAUUAUAGAGAGCAUCAAAUCGAUCAGAAUUAUAAGCACAACGUAUAGUUAUAGAAGGUGUGUCCAAACGGAUCACAUCAGAGGAAAGCUCUGAUUCCUCCAACCACUCGCUACUCAUGACUGAGAUACGCUCUCUUAAUUGAUAUUAACUUGGCAAACAAAUGCUAAGAUGGCUGUUUUGGGGUAUGUUAGUAGAAUGGUAGUUUUAAAUGUUUCCAAAAUCGGCAAAAAGAUCAGAUUCUAUAUCCAGCAUGAAGUCCGGUGGUGGAAUUUCUUCCUCUUGUGGCUCAGAACUUGGGAUAGCUAAAGUAGAUGAAGAAUUUGGCAGAGUGUCUACUUCGGCUUCGUAGGUUUCAUCAUGAAGGGUAUUAUCCAUCUCAGCUUCUAGGAUUCUAUCUAAGAUCACUAUAGCUUCAUCACUAGGGAUACGAAAGAAAGAACCUCUAGACAUUGCAUGUAGCAUUUGUUUAUGAUUUUUCUGAAGACCUCGAAAAAAGUAAAAUAAAAGAACAGGGUCUUCAAGAUUAAGGUUUGGACUAGAUUCUAAAAGAUCAGAAAAAUGUUUCCAGGAUUUUCCCAAAGUUUCAUUAUCUUUUUGUUUAAAAGAUAUGACUUCGAGUCUAUGGUCGCCGAUACGGUCAAGGGAAUAAAAAUCUAGACAAAAGUUGGCUCGUAAAACUCCCCAUACACCUCGUUGUUGACUUACCUUCUGACUGUACCAUUGUCUAGCUUCUCCCCUUAUGGAAAAAGGAAAAAGCUUCCAACGUAAAGUUUUAUCAGAAAUGCCUUCAAUGCGAAGACAAUCACAUGUUUGCUCAAAAUCUCUAAUAUGAAGGUAAGGGUUUUCGUCUUCCUUUCCCGAAAAAGAUAGGUUUUGAAUCAUGGCAAUCAACCUAGAACUUAACCUAUACUGGGAUGUUUGGAUAGGCUGUGAUGACUCCCAUGGUAAAAGGUCAGUUUCCGAAGGUGUUGCAAAUUGGUAGAUUGAUUUAGAAUCUUGGUUUUCCAUAAGGUAAGAGUAAAGAAAAUAAAUACAGAAUAUAAAAGAUAAGAAAAGAUAAAAGUAUAGAUACAAGCCAGUAGUAAGACUCAAGGUUAUCUCAGCAAACCAUCUUUCUCCCCGGCAACGGCGCCAGAAAUGCUUGUUGAUAUUUGGGAACGCAAUAAGGAAUUGAUCCGCAAGUGCACUGAUAUCGGUGAGCACUUCACCCGGGAGAUUAUCCAGAGUAUCGUAUUUAUUUUUUUACCACUAGGAGAAAGAGUGCAUCUGACUAACCCGAUCUAUUACUACUAACCCUUUAGGCAACAAAGAAUGUUUCUCGAUGUGAGUGAUAAAUAGAGAAGACUACAACCGUAAUCUCCUUCUAACCUUGGUAAGGAUGAUCUACUGUUCUAUUGGGGAGGCUAACGGAAUCUAGACACCACAGAGGAUGUUCAACCCGCACCUAUAAACCCUAUCCUUCCUGCUAACGAGAUAUGGUCUGCAAAGGUAACUUGGAAUUGUCACGUUCCUCGCUACUACCACGGUCUAGCUAGUCAGGGAAUAUCUAUGAGUAUCCUAGCCUAAACACCACGUCUACGCUAGAGAUGAUUACUCUAAACUCUACAUGAAGAGAUUAAAGUAAACUCAUGAACCAAAAGAACAAUAAAACAAGAACUUACUAGAAUUUAGAAGUCGAAAUACUGAAGAAUCCUAGGAGCAAGCCUCGGGUUAGGAGAACUUGAUCCCGCAGGUACAAAGUUGGAGUAGACACCGACAGGCCGGGCUUCCUCCGAUCUACACCUCCACUCUAUCUCUCUCAAUCUAGUAGAAACUAGAAGAUAUAUUUCUACUCACAUUGGUUGCUAAGCCUAAAAAGAAAUUUUGUUUAGAGGAGAGGUAUUCCUUCGAGGGCUCCUCUCAACUCUAUGAGAAACUUGUCUCCUCCAGGGGCCAGGGGGUCUGGGUUUAUAGUCCCCUCAAGUGAACGUGAGUCGUUGGAUCAAACCGACAUUGAUUGGACGAUUAUCCUUGAUCCUUUAGGUCGGUGGAGCGUCGUCCGCGAAAAGAGUCCCGAACCAAGUCCAGGAGGGGGCGGGCGCCCAGGUCAACUGGGCGGGCGCCCAGUGCCUGGCCUCGUUCGGCCUCUACUUCCUUCCCAUGGCUUCUGGAGUCAUCUAGAUGGUAGACAAUUGCGCGGUGCGUUGUUAUCUCUAUGUUAUCCCGACAUGUGGGCCUUUCUUCCUUAUUUCCUGAUAACCCCCUGCAGAAACCGAUAAACAACAAAACUCGUAGAAUUCUGUCAGAUCAAACCCUAAUUCUAGGUGUUGGUUGCAUAUUGGUCCUUUCUCUUGUUUGUUUGAUAAUUAAAAUUGAUACUUAAGAACCGUCAACACCAACCAAAAAUAUUCUACUCCUAAUCCGGGAGAGAAUAGCCAAAAAUAUUUCUGUUUUUCCCUUGUGAAAUAAAUGCUCAAGUUAUCUUGUUACUACUACUUGCUAUAUUAUCUCAAGAGAUGAGUGCUCUAAAAAACAGAAAAAAAAGAAAAAAAGAGAUACGAGGAAAUAAAAAGUGGCAAGUGCCCGAAACCUCGAAAGAAAAGAAAAAGUGAGACAAGAGGUAAAAAUGGACAAGUGUUCGACAGUAGAAUUAGGGGUACAAGAUACCCACCAGAGAGGAAAGAAAAAAUAGAGCAUCUCAUUCUCCUCACAAAGUUUCAAAAAGCAAGAAAGGUAUGUGUCCCCUCAAAAGAGCAAAAGUAGAAUUAGACUUUCACCAUUGUUAUCACCAUCAUCACCAUACGCCAUUCAUUCGCCACACAUGCACAUCUUGAUUUGACUUAUUGAUUUGUUUCUUUGGAUCCAUGGUUUGACUAUACAAUAAAUGUCUUGUGAGUAUGUAUACUUUAUCUCUCACCUAUGAGCUCCAGAUAUUAAAAUCCUUAUUAGAGUAGGGUGAGAGAGAAGGCAAUGUCACUAUGCCUUAUACCACAAAUACUACAUAUUUUGAGAGAAGGCAUAUACCAUCACUGCCUUGGUAAGGAUCCAGAAAUACCACAAAAGAGAGAUUUGAGAGAGUCAUACAAAGGAAUCUCUGAGUUUUAUUUGAAAAUCUGCAAAAACUCCAGAGCUAUAGCUGAUCAAGAAUAAGAGACAUGGCACUUGACUAGACUAUUCUAUCUUUUAACUACUCAAGACAGAAGUGACGGUUACAAGUCCCAUGGUGAAAGGUAAAGUAAGUAAGUUUUAAGUCUUAACAGUUUACUCUAACUCAAAGAUGAGACCGUAUUUAGAGCAUGUGUACCGUCAAUUUUUAAAGGCAUUGCAACAACUUCUGAUCCAUCGUUGAGUCUAUCCUUGCUCAAGGACGAGCAAUAGGUAAGCUUGGGGGAGUUUGUUGACGGUCCUUAAGUAUCAGAUUUAAUUAUCAAAUAAACAAAGAAAAGGAUCCAAAUGAAAUCAACAUCUAGACUUAGGGUUUUAUCUGACAGAAUUCCAUGAGUUUUGGUGUUUGUCUAUUUUGCAGGGGGUUAUCAGGAAAUACGGAAGAAAGGCCCACAUGUCGGGAUUACAUAGAGAUAUCAACGUGCCACGCAAUUAUCUUACAUCUAGAAGACUCCAGAAGCCACGGGAAGGAAGCGGAGGCCGAACGGAGCCUUGCCCUGGGCGCCCGCCCAGGUGACCAGGGCGCCCGCCCCCUCCUGGAAUCCAAACAGGACUCUCUUUCAGGAUCAAUCUCCACCGACCUAAAGGAUCAAGGAUGACCGUUCAAUAAAUGUCGGUUUGAUCCGAUGGGCCAUAUUCACUUGGAGGGACUAUAAAACCAGACCCCCUAGCCCCUGGAGGAGAGAGCCUCUCAACCCUAAUUCAUUAUGCUUCAAGGGAGAAGAAGCCUCUGAUCAAGCCUAGAGCCACCACAUCAUAGCAUAGCUACAUAGGAUUAGAACUAGAAGGAGUCAAUCUUCGAUUGGUUUCCGGAUCUGUCAAGAGGAUUCUUGGUAAUUCUCUAAUUGUUCUUCUAAUUGUUCAUCUUUGUUCUUCAAUAUUAUGAAUAUGACUUUUUUCUACUUCAAUAUAUUGCUUAUGACUUUGCUCUACUCGUUUAUAUUCAAGAUUAUAUUGUUCUUAGUUUAUCAUAGUUAUAUACUUGGCUUAGUUAGAUUGGAUUUAUAUACAUGUUUAGAAUCGUAUAGCGUUUAUCCAUCGGAUCCAUGGGUAAAUGAUAGAUAUUGUGUAGGCGUGGUGCUUAUACCGUAUUUAUCUGCAAUUGUACCCAAUAUGCCAGAUCGUGGGAUAGUUCGUGAUAGUGACAGCUUCAUUGAUUCUUAUAUAGUCCCCCUCUCGUGUAUUGGGCUGGCAGAGCAACAUUAUUACAGGGGAGUGAUUACGAUGUUUCUCAUAUUCCUUGCUAAUAUCACUAUGCAUGGGCGUAGUCUUGUCUCACAAUGAUUUCUAAGUAUGCUUGCACUAACUAUGAUAUGCUAGACUAUAUAGUUGAGAAUAACUUAGGAAAUAUUAUUGUAGUUCGUUCUAAUUCCAUGCUAAUGACUUUCUAGAAUAUCUAAUUGAGGUGCUUAUCAUAUUUAUUAUGUGGCUAAGUUAUGCUGAUCAGACUAAUUAUCUUUGUCACUAUUCAUUACUUCAUAUAUCCUUUAUUUGACACUUACCCCUGUAUGAAAGAGUUAGAUAAAUGUUCGCAAUUAUACAUGUAAUGAUAGAUACUCAAUCUCAUAUUCCAUUCUAUAAUCAAUAUUGAUGGUUACUAAUCCCUUCCCAGUUGUAAAAAUAUAAAUAACGAUACCUGGAAUACUUCCCGGUUAAAAUGCUACAUCGGUAUUAAUCUAUGCGCUUGCAGAUCCCAUUCAUUAUUUAUUUAGAAGAGCAAUUGCAUAUUUCAAUAUCGCGUCUCUCAUGUCAUGCUGGGGAUGACAUCUUGGCUUAAGUGGUGUGAGGGAUAGGUUUGGCAUUUUUGGCACCGUUAUCAGAAUUAGAAAACUAAGUCUACUUUUGGUAGUGAUGUUAAGAAUAUCCAACACCUUCCUCGUCCUCGUCAUCGGAAAUCUCGAUGGCAACGGAAAAUAGACUGUCCGGGGAGUCCUGUUCCUGAAAAAGGAAAUAAGAUAAUUUAUUUGAUGAUCAAAUAUUAGUGAUAUAAAGGAGGGAAAUCAGAUAACUUACUUGCUUCAAAGAUAUUUCACGCCUCUGGCUGGUUGAUGCCACUGGUACCACGGGUUGAUCGACUGGACUUGCCGAUGGAACAAUAUCAACUGAAAAAUAAUAAGGAUAAUUAUAAUUUGGAAAAGUAAAUCCAUCGGUGAUAAUUUUAUAGAUAGUACUUUACCUUGAGGGGGUGCAGUGCUUGUCUGUUAUGAAGGGACUACUGAUGAUACGAUUGGAUCCAACGGAUCGGCAGUUUGCUCAAGCACGUCGGCUGAUGAUUCCUGUGGCUGAGGUUCUGAUUGAGGAGAAGAUGGUGCUUGUUGUGUCUAGAUUUCUGGUGAAGAGGGGGAUGAUUCCACAUGAAUUGGCGACACUGGAUGAGGAGGAGAAGGCGGAGCUGUCUUCUGGCGUUUUGGUUGUGAUUUAGUGCUCUUAGGGCCUUUUCUCUUGACUUGACUGGACUGGGGGGCAUCGGCACUUGUUUUGGUACUUCUGGUCUUUGCCGAUUUGCUAGUUUGCUGUUACAAUAAGCAAGAUUUCAUGAGUUUAAAUAUGAAAGAAUGUUGAUGAAAGUCUUGUUAAAAGAUAGAAGUUACCAAUGAGGUUCCAAUAGCAGCCGAUGUAUCCUGAAAAUAUUGUGUGAGUAUGGAAUAGAAUUGGUGUAAGAGAAGGAAAUUAGAAUUUUACAUUGAAAGCCUGUGCCAAGGUAGCAGCAGCAACCGAUGGAGACGUCUUUAAUCGCUUGGUGGUCACCUUCUUGAAACGCACAUUCCAGUGCAUUAAAGUUGCCAAGCUCGGUGCGUCUUGACCGAUCAGAGAAAUCGGGCCCGUUCGAAGGAGCUCGAUCGGCUUUCCACUCCUGCUGACUGUUGGUGGUGGGUUGUUGACCUGAUUUAAAGGGAGAGGGUAAGUUACCAAUGAGAAUAAAAGUAACAAAAGAAUUUAAGUAUCGGUUGAAGACUUACAGUGUUAUCGAGGACUUUGUACUUGGGGUCGAUCAUACCACGGUAUGUCAGAGCCGAUGUGCAAAACAGUUGUUCUUUCCACUCUUCCCACCACUGUUUGUAUGCCUGAGUGAUGAAAAGAGCUGGGAUCCAUGCCGAUAGAUCGAUGUCUGAUGUAUCGGCAUUCGGCUAAAGCUGGGCUAUUCUUAUCCUCUCAAGUUCGUUGGUUAUGGUUUCCCUUGGCUUCACCACAUCGGCAUAGCAGAGUCCAAUCGGCAACUGUCCAAAAGCUAGUUGACGAGCCAGUGCCGAUGGGUUGUAGAACUCAUAGGUGGGGUUGGAAGUUUUCCCACUGCCAAAGAUAUUCACUGGUAUAGCUCUCAGAGUAAUAAUUGUCAUCAUCAGAUCAUGGUCCUUGUUGAGGGCAUCAUCAAAGGGGUGAAAAGUGAGCGGGAAUCUGGUUUCUGGGUCCUCGUCAGGCAUCCAUGCCCGUUGAUCUUUGGCAAGACCCUCAUAGAGAGUUUGGAAGAAUCGGCUGACCAGGUCUUCAUUGCCACCAGUACCAGGUAAAACUAUGGCAGCCUCACCAUAGUUCAAAGGUGGGUGAGUUGCUGAUUCUUCAUCGGCCAAUUCAUGAUCCUUGGCGAUAUCUCUGGGAAAGCGCUGCGCGAAGAGGUCAAAUCCAAGGCGUUUAUGCAUGUGAACACUGAGCCACAUGUUGAUAAACCACCAAGGUCCUCCUAAGUUGCCGAUGGGUUGGCCCCACAAAAGCUUCUCGGCUACUUGAUGAAGGAGAUGGUAAACAGAGCCUAACAAGUAUCGGCCGAGAAGGAAGCGACCACCGUUGGAUAGUUUCUCUGCUGCCGAUAGAUAGACAGAAGUCGGACCUGCCGAUCGGCCGCAAAAUACAAAUUUAUCUAGCCACAUAUUCAGAAAGAUGGCAUGUUCCCUUUGCCCAACUGCUCCUAUUUUUCGGUACUUCUGAAUGUACCCUGGCCAACCGCUGAUGCUGCGAGUUUCUACCUUAGAGCUAGGCUUACUAUCAAACAGAUGGCUAUCAUCGGCAGUUGCUAUUUCUAGACCAGUUAGCAUAAGUACAUCGGCAAGGGUAGGAGAAGAAGGGCCAUGGCCAAACACAAAAGCAUUGAGAGUGUCUGACCAAAAAUACAAAGCUGCUAUCAACAGUGGUUCGUUUCUCUCCAUAUCGGCGAUGGAUAGCCUAAUGCACUCGUCUAAUUUUCGCUCACCCCAUUGGACUUCAUUCGAGUUGCCGAUUCUCAGGAACCUAUCAUUCUUCCCCUUGGUAGAACUGGGCCAGGAACGAAAAGUGUCUUUCCAUAGAUCUAAAGAGAAGUUCUCAGCUCUAAAGGAGAUCCUAUUUGUCUCUGCGUUUAUCAAAUCGGUAGGAUCUAGGUUUCCCAAUGGGCCAAGGCAUUGGAAGUGGGGUUGAUCGGUAGGAAUCACAAUCUUAUCGGCCAAUUCCUAAAGGGUUUGAAGGUUGAAAGAACAGAAAAGAAACAAAGAAAAAAACGUACUCAGUAAGUGGAUUUGCAGAGAAAAAGGAGUACAACAAGAAUACGGUAAAAAGAAGAAAGGGGAUGUUGAGUUGACCUUAGGAACGACGACGUUGAUGGCCAUUUCUUCCCGAGAGGAGGAAAGAAUCGAAGACUCGGAAGAUUGUUGGAGGAGAUCCUUGCCGGAGUUCUUGAAGUUCUCGAAUAGUGCCACCGCCAGGAAGGUAGGUUUGAGGCUGUAGAAUGACAAGAUGGGGAAGAGUACCGGAGAAGUAAGUAUUUAUAGGAUAAAGAGAGCAGGGGCAAAUCUGACUUAUCUCUUCGCCGUAUCCGUGAAAUCCGAGGGUGUUUAGGUGGAUAUGGAACUGUUCGCAUGAUAAUCAAGGCAUUGCGCAGGUGAUUUGACAACAAGCGGUCAUGAUUUUGGAGAUAUCUUACUGUGCAAGAUCUUUUGGUCGGUUCAUCGGCAGUUUUCUCUAACGAAAAUAUUGUCGAUGAACGUAUAUUAAGGGGAUUCGGUUCGAGAAGUUGGGGAAUUCGAGGUACCUGUUGUAAGACCGGGCUAAGGUUGUUUGGAUUUGGUAAUUAAUUGCUGACAGAAAGGGAUAAUUGCGGAAAGGCGUCAUUACUGGGGAGAAUUUCGAAGCAUUAAUGAUUUUAUACUCCGAAAUUGGGGGGCAUGUGUUGACACCGUUUUUGGACACGUAUCUUUGGACACGUAUCUGGAAUUAAUGAGGUAUAGAUCGGCUGGCAGAAAAGUGGUGACUAGUCUACAGAAGAGUUGCCGAUGAGGGUUGGUGCUGAUGGGAAAACGACAGGAUGUGGCUAAGUCUAGGAGUGUGAUGGAUUCGUGCCGAUGACUGGUGCUGCUGAUUGCUGAUGGCUGUGAGAGGUGGCUUGCCGAUGAUUAUGGAGAAAGGCGUAGGGGUUGUCGAUCGACUCAUUGCGGUGUACCGAUCGGUUGUGGAGGAUGAUUUGAUGCUUUCCAUAGUUAUUAGAGUUUGUUUUGUAUACAGAUUUUGUUUAAUUUAGAAUUCAAAUCCUAGUCGUGUCUGGUUGUAACUCCUGUGAACAGUGUAUAAAUGUAGACCCCGUAGCAAUGUAAUGAAUAUACACAAUCAAUCAAAUACAAGAUUUUACAUCUAUUCUAGCAUCUAAUUUUUCGACGACUUCGUCGAUUUGCAUAUUUUCUUUUUCUACGAGUUCUUUGGAAUUCUUCGAGUCAACCUCAGCGAGUUCUCGAGUCCAACGUGAAUACCUCUUGGCCGUGACAUCCGGGCGCAUCAUUGUUGUCGGGACCAAAGUAUUCGAGUUAUCACCUUUGUCGAUUGUAAGGUCAAAUCGGCUGGCACGCCUUAACGUUGAAUCGGGUAUUAGCCCUUUGUGUUUGCAGAUCACUUUUGCACCAACAGUAUCAAACUCAACAUCCAUACCUAUUUGGUGCAAGAAAGCGGGGUCGAAUGCCGGCGACUGGAGGAACUCGCGUUCCUUCAUGAGGUUGUAUGCCUGCAUCUCCCGCUCGCUCUCCAAGUUGAUGAAGGGGGCGUCGGCCUCAUCAAUGGCGUGGCCGUGUUGGCUCCUCCUCCUCUCCUCCAUGUGCUGACUGCUCGUUCCUUGCAGGGAUUGGUGGAUCUUCCCCGUGUUGGCGGCGGCUCAUUCUAAGCUCGAAUAUUCUAUUCAUGGUGGACGAGCUAGCACAAGUGUAUGGUGUUUUUGCUUGGAGAGGGAAGUGUGCAAGAGGUUUUUGACAUAAUUUUCUUGCACUAAGCUUGUGGAGUAGGCUAUGAAGCAAAGUGGAGCAAGAGAGUCAAGAAGGGAAGAGUAAAAAAUGUGUGUGAGAGGGGUGAGGUGCAACACCCGGGAUCCUCUCUAUUUAUAGAGUUGGUCUCAGGCGUGUCGACGAAAGCUGGUCGGCAGUCUACCUUGGGGUAUACCCACGGUAGUAGUUUAUCGGUAGACGGUGCGCAAACUACGAACUCGAUGGUGACGCAAGACACGGACAAGCUUUUUAUCCAGGUUCGGCCGCCGAGUUGGCGUAAUACCUACGUCCUGCGUCUGGUUGUAUUGAUUUGUGUUGAGAGAAUAUGAUAUGUGAUGUGAUGUGAUAUCCUAGGGGGGUCCCUUGCCCCUCCUUAUAUAGUCUGGAGGGCAGGGUUACAGAUCUGGAAACUAAUCCUAGUCGGUUACAAUCGCCAUGGAUAAUUUGAUAUCAAUUCCUAUUCUAACCGACUAGAAUCCUGCUUGACCUCCACAUCUUGUUUCCUUACGCGAAACUCCAGGUUGUCGGAUCAAGCCUUGAACUCGUCUCGUAAUAGGCCAAGGCUCCUGGCCCAAGUCUAGCCGUAAGGGUAUAGGGGUUUAUACCCCCACAGCUAGUCCCCGAGCACCAUGUAUUGUGAUGUAACACGCCGUCUUGAGCUCCUUCGAUCAGCGAGGCUUGACGUCUUCAAUAAGCAGGAAAGUCGCCCGAACAGUUGCAACAGUAUUUUGACCAACUCAAAAAACAGUUGAUCAACAUUGACAUCGAAGAAGCAGGUUGUUUGAAGAAUGCAUGGUGCUCUAAAUUAAAAAAGAUUUCUUUCCUAGUGAAGUGUGCCCACUUUACUUUUCUGAAAAGUAUAGCCUUUCAAAAAAGCAAGCACAUUCACCGCAAGGUGAAGUGUGCCCACUUAGUCCCCGAGCCUGGUAGUAGGUGACGUAGGCACGUGGUGCCAGGGUCAAAAGAAAAGUCCUCAAAGAAAUUCUCAAACUGAGAUGCAUCGUCAGAUGCAUCGUACCGAUGUAGUCCCCGAGCUUGCUGGAAGGCGAAGUAUGAGCCUUGUAGCAAGGUCUAAAAAAAUUGAAUUUACCAGUCCGUCUGCAAUUGAAUAGACUAAUCGACCAGUCCCCGGGUGUAUAAUAGUAUGACGACCAGUCCCCAAGCACCAAGUGCGCUCCUUAGAAUUCUGCGUUGCUAUACUGUACGACCAGUCCCCGAGCAUCGAGUGCUCGGUGGUCGGUGCAGUCUUUGAAGUUCCGAGCUGAUAGACUGGGCGACCAGUCCCCGAGCGUCAAGUGCUUGGUGGUCGGUACAGUCCCCGAAUUCUCAAAUUGGUGGGCUGGUCGACCAGUCCCCGAGCGUAUAGUGCUCGGUGGUCGGUACAGUCCCCGAGCACGGCGUAGGGACCGGUGGACAAGUCCCCGAGCGUGGUUGGGAACGUAAACGUGCUCGGUGGUCGGCACAGUCUUCGAGCACAGCAUAGAGAGUAGUCGACAAGUCCCCGAGCGUGGUUGAGAACGUAAACGUGCUCGGUGGUCGGAGCAGUCCCCGGGCACAGCGUAGGGAAUAGUCGACGAGUCCCCGAGCGUAGCUUGUCGACUGGGCCAAACCCCUAAAAAAUAAAUAUAAAGAAUAGGUAGUACAUGAUGUAUAAAUAAACUUUAGAUAAAAAUCAGUACUGAGAUAAGUUUUAGAUUUUUUGUUAUAAAAUUAGCACAAGUAGUUAAUUCAUCCUAGAGCUUGUACCAGCUCUGGUCUAGCCAACAAUCAGCAUGAGGUGCGGAACCUAGACACGCGUGGGAUUGCCAGCCUCGCCAGAGAGCUACUGCCGACCACCCGGAACGCAGAGGGCGGAUCUCGUGCACGUGUAGGGAGGAGUCGGAGACAGUACCGGCUCUGGAAAGCUCGUGUAGAAGAAAAAACUAGUGUGGCUAAACAAAAAGUUGUUUUUGAAGGAUAAUAAAAAAUAUUAUGCCAAAAUAAAUAAGAUAUUAGAAGUGUACUUAUCUUUGGAUGAAAGUCUGGUCGGUGACGACAAAAUUGUCUGGCCCUCGAGCUUUUGGACUUGUUAUCGUGACGGUGGUCGCUGUUGUCGUAGCGUCGUUCUUCGCGGCGAUUAUUAUUGCGACUGGUGGUCAGAGCAAGUAGGCCAAACAAUUUGGUCGAUGGCCCGAGCAGGUCGGUGUUGUCGAUCUGCCUCCCUUUGUUGCAGGGAAGCGGGUGACGCGUUGUCGGCGUGGUCGGAGACGUUGCUGGAGUAGUCGGAGUCGUAGCCAGCGUGGUUGAAGCCGCCGCUGACGUCGAUGAAGAAGUGGUUGGCGCAGAUCGGAUCUACACCUCCUCCGUGGUCAUGGCGGUGAAGUUGUUGAAGCUGACGGUGAACGUGAAGCCGCCCGCCAUGGCCGCGAAGUCGGGGAUGAUGGCCAUCUUGUUCGCCGGAAAAGUUGCACGCACACCCCCUACCUGGCGCGCCACUGUCGACGAAAGCUGGUCGGCAGUCUACCUUGGGGUAUACCCACGGUAGUAGUUUAUCGGUAGACGGUGCGCAAACUACGAACUCGAUGGUGAUGCAAGACACGGACAAGCUUUUUAUCCAGGUUCGGCCGCCGAGUUGGUGUAAUACCUACGUCCUGCGUCUGGUUGUAUUGAUUUGUGUUGAGAGAAUAUGAUAUGUGAUGUGAUGUGAUAUCCUAGGGGGGUCCCUUGCCCCUCCUUAUAUAGUCUGGAGGGCAGGGUUACAGAUCUGGAAACUAAUCCUAGUCGGUUACAAUCGCCAUGGAUAAUUUGAUAUCAAUUCCUAUUCUAACCGACUAGAAUCCUGCUUGACCUCCACAUCUUGUUUCCUUACGCGAAACUCCAGGUUGUCGGAUCAAGCCUUGAACUCGUCUCGUAAUGGGCCAAGGCUCCUGGCCCAAGUCUAGCCGUAAGGGUAUAGGGGUUUAUACCCCCACAAGGCGGGGGAGCGCCCCCCUCAACGGCUACUAGCCGUUGCCCAAAGGCCGAGGCCAGCAGGCCUUAGGCAGGGUGCGGCCGCACCGUAGUGCACCCGCACCAGUGGUGGGCCCGCCUGUGCUCGGCCUUUUGGCUGAUGGUUCCAACGGCUCUCCCCAACGUCUCUCUGGUUACGAUCAAACCUAGUUCAAAACUUUGCUCCAGAUUUUUAUUUUCCACAUAUUUAUUCAAGAUAUUUUUGGUUUUCAAAAAUUAUAUAAAAAUAAGAUUUGGAAAUGAGAAAAUCUAUUGUACCAGAAAAUAAUUUUUAUAAGAUUUUGAGAGAAACUUUAUUUUUUGACUAAAAUAAAACUAUAGAAAGGGAAACUUUUGGGAACUAAAAAUAAAAACUUUCUAUAAAAUGGGAAAUUUGAAAUGAAUUUAAAGAAUUUAAAAAGACAUAAUACCUAAGUGGGGACACCUCCCCCAAGCUUGCUUGAUGUCAUGGGCCCCUUCAGAUAUCUUUAUUGGGACACAAAUAGCACAAAAUUUAUUUUUAUUAUAUAUAGUGUUUUUUGAGAUAACUACCGAAUGCCUUUGGCAAGGGCUCAACAUUUAUAGUCCAUUGGCAAGACUUUCCUUCCUUCAUUCUUCUAUGGCUGCAUGGACGAACUUAGUAGAGUUUUCCGGUUGCCCUGGGAUCCUCUCUGUGUCAGUGACUGGAAUUGAUGCAGCUAUCUGUGCUAUCUGUGUUUCUAUCAUCUUGUUGAAACUCGUCUGACUUUUGACAGAUGAAGAAAAAGUUUCAAGCUUGGCGUUGAUGUUCUCAAUGAUAUUGUCAUUGUAGGACAGCUUCUUGGUUAUAUUCUCGUUGAUUUUAGCUUGCCCUAUGACCAGAUCUUUCAAGGAAGGCUGAUUGAAGAAAUUACCCUGCGGGCGGUGCUGAUUGUUCCACCCAUUGUUACCUUGUUGUGGUGGCAGAAACCCAUUGUUGACAUAUGCUGCUUGUUCUUGGGUUUUGGGGCAAUUGUUCCCCGAAUGGCCAUCAUCACCACAAACUUCACACGAUGUGUGUGAGUUCACUGCUUGGACGGUGCCCAUGUUGGGAUUUGCAACUUGUCUGACCAUCCUUUGCAGCAGCAAGUCUAUUUUUGCGGCAAGCACAUCUGCCUCCUUCGCAGAUUGCGAGCCUUUUUGUGUUUUCCUUCCUUCUCCCCAGCUUUGAUUUGCCACCAUGUUCUCGAUGAGGGCAGUAGCUUUAUUAACGGUGAGAGAAAGGAAUGCACCUCCAGCUGUGGCAUCUACGUGCCCCUUUGACAUGGCCGUGAGGCCUUUGUAGAAGUUCUGGAGCACAAGCCAGUCUUCCAUUCCAUGGUGAGGACAGGCCUGGAUGUACUCCUCGAGCAUCUCCCAUGUUUUGGGUAUGAACUCAAGAAAAGACUGCUAGAAGUUAGAGAUCUUCCCCCUCAGAGCGCUGGUCUUGCUCAUGGGGAAGAACUUGGCGAGGAAUGCCACGGAGCACUUUUCCCAUGUGUCAACAGCUUCCUUGUUCUGAUAAAACCAUUGUUUCACCUUUCCGACGAGGGAAAAGGGAAACAGACAGAGCCUGAUGCUAUUCUGUGCGACGUCCUUGAUGACGAUGAUGUUGCACAGCUCAAGGAAGUUCUGAAGGUGGGCGUUGGCAUCCUCGCUUGGCAGCUCAAGGAGGGGGUGGUAGCUGUCGACGAAAGCUGGUCGGCAGUCUACCUUGGGGUAUACCCACGGUAGUAGUUUAUCGGUAGACGGUGCGCAAACUACGAACUCGAUGGUGACGCAAGACACGGACAAGCUUUUUAUCCAGGUUCGGCCGCCGAGUUGGCGUAAUACCUACGUCCUGCGUCUGGUUGUAUUGAUUUGUGUUGAGAGAAUAUGAUAUGUCCUAGGGGGGUCCCUUGCCCCUCCUUAUAUAGUCUAGAGGGCAGGGUUACAGAUCUGGAAACUAAUCCUAGUCGGUUACAAUUGCCAUGGAUAAUUCGAUAUCAAUUCCUAUUCUAACCGACUAGAAUCCUGCUUGAUCUCCACAUCUUGUUUCCUUACGCGAAACUCCAGGUUGUCGGAUCAAGCCUUGAACUCGUCUCGUAAUGGGCCAAGGCUCCUGGCCCAAGUCUAGCCGUAAGGGUAUAGGGGUUUAUACCCCCACAGCUAGUCCCCGAGCACCAUGUAUUGUGAUGUAACACGCCGUCUUGAGCUCCUUCGAUCAGCGAGGCUUGACGUCUUCAAUAAGCAGGAAAGUCGCCCGAACAGUUGCAACGGUAUUUUGACCAACUCAAAAGACAGUUGAUCAACAUGGACAUCGAAGAAGCGAGUUGUUCGAAGAAUGCAUGGUGCUCUAAAUUAAAAAAGAUUUCUUUCCUGGUGAAGUGUGCCCACUUUACUUUUUUGAAAGGUAUAAACACCAAAAAAGCAAGCAUAUUCACCGCAAGGUGAAGUGUGCCCACUUAGUCCCCGAGCCUGGUAGUAGGUGACGUAGGCACGUGGUGCCAGGGUCAAAAUAAAAGUCCUCAAAGAAAUUUUGUAGCUGAGAUGCAUCGCCAGAUGCAUCGUACCGAUGUAGUCCCCGAGCUUGCUGGAAGGCGAAGUAUGAGCCUUGUAGCAAGGUCUAAAAAAUUGAAUUUACCAGUCCCCGAGCAUAUCAUGCUCGUCUGCAAUUGAAUAGACUGAUCGACCAGUCUCCGAGCAUAUAACGCUUGGUGGUCGGUACAGUCCCCGAAUUCUCAAAUUGGUGGGCUGGUCGACCAGUCCCCGAGCGUAUAGUGCUCGGUGGUCGAUGCAGUCCCCAAGUUCAUAAAUUGGUGAGCUGGUCGACCAGUCCCCGAGCGUAUAGUGCUCGGUGGUCGGCACAGUCCCCGAGCACGGCGUAGGGACCGGUGGACAAGUCCCCGAGCGUGGUUGGGAACGUAAACGUGCUCGGUGGUCGGCACAGUCUUCGAGCACAUCAUAGAGAGUAGUCGACAAGUCCCCGAGCGUGGUUGGGAACGUAAACGUGCUCGGUGGUCGGAGCAGUCCCCGGGCACAGCGUAGGGAAUAGUCGACGAGUCCCCGAGCGUAGCUUGUCGACUGGGCCAAACCCCUGAAAAAUAAAUAUAAAGAAUAGGUAGUAGGUGGCGUAGGCACGUGGUGCCAGGGUCAAAAGAAAAUUCCCCAAAGUAGUUUCGAGAACUGAGAUGCAUCGCUAGAUGCAUCGUACCGAUGUAGUCCCCGAGCUUGCUGGAAGGCGAAGUAUGAGCCUUGUAGCAAGGUCUAAAAAAUUGAAUUUACCAGUCCCCGAGCAUGUCAUGCUCGUCUGCAAUCGAAAAAACCAAUCGACCAGUCCCCAGGCACUUAGUGUGCUUCUUGGAAUUAUAUGUUGCUAUAUUGUACGACCAGUCCCCGAGCAUCGAGUGCUCAGUGGUCGGUGCAUGCUUUAAAGUUUUGAACUGAUAGUCUAAGCGACCAGUCCCCGAGCGUCGAGUGCUCGGUGGUCGGUGUAGUCCUUGAAGUUCUGAGUUGACAGACUGGGCAACCAGUCCCCGAGCGUCGAGUGCUCGGUGGUCGGUGCAGUCCUUGAAGUUCCGAGCUGACAGACUGGGCAACCAGUCCCCGAGCGUCGAGUGCUCAGUGGUCGGUGCAGUCCCCGGAUUGCUGACUCACUGGCGUAUGUGUCUUCUUUUGAAAAGAUCUUUCCAAUUAAAGUUGACGUGACGGGGUCUCCUGACGAUAUGUCAGUCAGAUGCAUGAAAAGCUGCACCUGGCAACUGUACAACCGCUCUUUGCAUGGUUUGAGAAAAGGAAACCAUCAAUUGGUACGAAAACUCCGCCGCAUUAAUUGUAUAUAAUCAUUGUAAACCGAAACGCCGCGUCCGCCGCAUGGCCUGCCCACUUCCCGAGAAUACAGGAAGUGGGAGAAGUGGGGUCGCGGGUUUAUAAGGGUCUAAUAGGACCGCCUGUACCGCUUCUCCUGCUGUUGCCUUCAAACCUUACGCUCUCAUCUUCUCCAAUCUCCUGCAUCUUCCUAACUCCAGCCCACAUUCGCACCUCUAAUGGCGAAGAGCGACUCCAGGAAGAGGGCCGAACUGAUGGCCAAGGAGUGGAAGAAGUCUCGCAGCACCACAAAAUCUCUUGGUGACCUCAUCGAUAUGGGGCUUCUGCACGGUGCAGAGCUCGGCGGCUGGAGGGCACCGGAGGGGGAGAGCUACCCCGACCCUCGCGCCGGUGAGAUCGUCGUUUUUGAGGAUUUCGUUAAGAGAGGCUUUGGUGUUCCUGUCCAUCCUUUUCUUCAAGGUCUUCUUUUGUACUAUGAGAUCGGGAUUUGCAAUCUGCACCCGAACUCAAUUCUCCUUAUUUCCACCUUCAUCCACCUGUGCGAGGCCUAUGUUGGCAUAGAGCCACACUUCGAUCUUUUCCGAUACCUUUUCUGCUUGAGGAAGAAGGGAGCAGUUGGAGGCUCCAAGGUUGCAGGUGGAGUAUACCUCAACCUUCGCGAUGGGAUGAAGAAUCGCUAUCUGCACUGCCCAUGGAACACUUCCUUGACCGAAUGGUACAGGAAGUGGUUCUAUGUCAGGGAGGAACCGGGCAGCUCCACGUUCUGCGACGUGGGAUACAUUCCCGAGAAGAGGACGAGCUGGACCGACCGCCCAGAGUUCGACGGUCAAGUGGCGGAUCUGAUGAAGCUGAUCGACUGGUCGCGCCUGGAUGGGCUUGGCGUGGUCGGCAACUUCAUUUGCCGCAGGGUGAUGCCCUGCCAGAAGAGGGUGCACUCGGCGUACGAGUAUGCCGGAAGCGCAGACCCGACCAGGAUGCGGUCGGAGAUCUUGGAGAAAGCGAAGGUACAACAGCUGUUGAACGAGCUGUUUAACUUCGCGGAUGGGGGCUUCACCCGGGGCAGUGAUCGGGUGCAAGCCUUCAAGUUAGGACGACCAGCACCAAAGGUAUGCAGCAGACUCUGUUUGAUCAUUCGUAUAUCGUCUGUAGUUGACUCAUCUCUGUUGCUUUUGCAGGCCGGUGAUGUCGACCGGUACGUGGUGUAUGUAUCACUGGCGCCGGGGAUGGAAAAUCCUGCGGGAGAGGUCCCGCCAGAGGAGGACGCUGCUCGGUGUACUCAUUACACCAGCAGUGAGGAAGACCGAGCCCGCCCCGUCCCGACCUCCGAGGAGAGGGUAGCGGGGAAAAGGCCAUUGCCGGCGGAUCCCUUGCCGACAUCGGAGCUGCCAGCAGACCUACCGGCGGAGAGCAGCCAAGCGCCGAAACGUCGUCGGCUCGUGCGGAUCGUCGACGACGAUGACGACGACGAGGAGGCUGCGCCGUCGUUGGUCCGACGGCCUCGGAGCCGCCCAGACACUACGCCGGUCGCCACUGAUCGAGUGGCCAGCGGCGUCGCUGCCCCGCAAGUUGCCGAGGUGGGGGCACAGGUGCCGACCGGCCGGGCGAGGAGGAGGUUCACCGCGACCCAUCGCCGGUCAGACCUGUAAGUGUUCGACUUACGUAUUUUGGACUCCUCUUUUUUUUUUUAAACUUUUGUUCCUGCAGUGCGGCAUCGGAUGUCGACCCUGGCCAAACUGCCGGCCAGGUAACGGACGAGCCUGCCCGCGGUUCUGGGGAUGCAGCCCCCCAGACCACAGAACAGCCAACAGCUGCAGUCGCGCCUGGGAGCACCGAGGGGCCCCCGAGCGCGGCGCCGACAACAAGCAGCCCGACCAGGGCUGGAGAGGCUCCCCCAACUGACUCCUCGGAGAAGGGGAGAUCUCCGACCGCUCCUCCUGCCGGGGGGGGUGAAGUCCCCCCGCUGCCCCGAGCAGGAGCCUCUUCGGCUGCGGGCUCCCCAGGUCUGGUCCAAGGGCCAGUAAUGCCUGGGACCACCACCGGGGGUGACGCAGCACAGGAGGACGAAACCCGGGCGGCCUCCGACGACGAGGUGGAGGAGAUCGAGGGUCGUCCCCGUGAUGGCCGCCAACACGUGUAUGUGUGGCGCCAACGCGGGGAUCACUUUAUCGGUCAUGAGGAGGUCGCUGAGACCGAAGAGGCCGCCAGGGUGGAGCGCGCGGCCAAGCGCCUUGUCGACGAAGUCAAGGUAAGCGGCUUUUUGUACUGAUGCGCAUUCUUUUGCCUUGUCUUGCUUGAUCGUUAUAUGCUUGCUUUGUAGGACGUAAUGAAAACGGCGAAGUACCGGAAACAGUGCUUUGACCAGAUAGAAAUCGUCAUGGCUGAGAACAAGGCCCUUGCCGCGGAGGUAGACCGGUUGCGGGCGGAGGUCGGGGAGAAGGUGGUCGAGAUGAGCGCUGAAAAGGAGCGUCGUCUCGACCUCGCUCGUCGCCUGGCCGACCAGUACCGGCUGCAGGAAGGUUAGUCACACGCUCCGAGCAGUUUCGCGUACUUGUGUAGUUUGUUUUGCUGACCAGUUUAGGAUUCACGCAGACUUGGAGGAGGAGGUGGCGAGCCUCCAACAAGAGAAGGAGCAGCUCGGCCAACAGCUCGCCAGUGCACAGGAGUUCGGGUGGCGAGCGGAAGAGGAAUUGGGUCGAAAAGACCGGGAGUUAGCUGGUAAUGGGUGCCGCCUUGUUGGUUGCUGCCUGCCCCUUUGCUUGUCUGGUAUGCCGGAAGUAACGUUUCGUUUUGUUUGCAGUGCUCAAGGUGAACACCAAAAAGCACCUGGAUGAGCUGGUCAAGGACCGGGACUCCUGGAAGGUCAACUGUUGCAGGAUCUGGAAAGGAGUGUCCCCGGUCCUGGACCUGAUCAAUCCCGAGCUCCCGGAGAGCCAGCCCCGCGCGCCGCAGUUGACCCCCGUCGAGAAGGCGCAACGGGCGUGGGAUUGGCUCCAGCAGUUUGUGAAGGACGCCGGAGAGUUUGCCGGCGCGCACGUCCUCAGCAUGGUACGCGCCCACUACCCCCUGGUCGACUUGAGCAGGCUGGAGAAGGGGUACCCGAAGGAAGUCGGCCCACAGGAAGCGGACGAACUUCGGGGUAGUCUGCUGAACUUGUCGUCGACAGUGAUCGGCGACAUCAACCUGUGCGGAACGGCCACUCCUCCAGACCAGCCGAGCUCAGAUAGGUCGGCCAGGGAGUUGUCGGGCGCGUCCGUUGCUGGAGAUGGGCGGUCGACGCCUGCGGUCUCGACCAGCCAGGCGCCGGUGGCCCCGACCCCUUCGUCCGGGCAGCAGGGCCAGGCGGGUGAUCAGCCCGAGCAGCUAGGCCAAUAAAGUAGUCUGUAGGAAUAGACUAGUAUGUGCCCGUCAGGGUAUUUAUUGUAAACUUUGUAUGUAAAGUUUGUAAUAAAGUUUUCUUUUUGUCAUGACUGUUGUUUUGAGCGCUGUAAAAAUAUCUGAGUGACGUGUCACCGUAUUUGUCUUGGUUGUCGCCAAGAGCAUCCAUUGCAGAAGUUUUGCCGAGUGCUGUGUAUGACAAGGUAUAGGCGAAAAAUAGAGAAUUUUAUUAUCAAAAAUUAUAAGGUACUUACAAAAGAAAGUCGUUGAAACUUUAUGGAUAGAAACGUCGCAGUUUGUCGAUGUGCCAAGAGUUAGGCACUCGUGUUCCGUCUGGGUAUGCCAAUCUGUAGGACGUAGGUCGUGUGACCUCGGUCACCACGAAGGGUCCUUCCCAGGGAGUAGAUAACUUGUGCAUUCCCUCCUGGCUUGUUUUCCAUCGAAGCACCAGAUCGCCGACCACGAAGGAACGGUCCUUGACGUUCCUGUUGUAGUAUCGCCUGACUGCCGCGAGAUAUUUUGCUGUUCGGAGACAUGAAACUAAACGCUUUUCCUCCAUGCAAUUGAUUUCUAGUUCUCUGGCGUUGUCGGCGGUCGCCUGGUCGAAGUGCUCGAUUCUAGGAGAUCCGAAGUGUAUGUCGGACGGCAAGACCGCCUCUGCGCCGUACACCAUGAAAUAGGGAGACACCCCUGUGUUUCGACUGGUCUGAGUUCGGAGGCCCCAGACCACUGCCGGCAAUUCCUUCAUCCAACGACCGGGUGCUCUGUCGUUCUCGGUGUACAAUCUUUUCUUUAGGGCGUCGACGAUCAUUCCGUUAGCACGUUCAACUUGACCGUUGGCACGUGGAUGUGCCACUGACACAUAUUUUAUGACUAUGCCUCUGUCAUCGCAGAAAUCCCAAAAAGUGGUGCCAGUAAACUGAGUGCCCAGGUCGGUGAUUAUGCUGUUCGGGAUGCCGAAUCUGUGUAUGAUUUGAUUGAGGAACUCCACAGCCUUCUCGGAGGUUGCCUUGACCAGGGGCAUGUAUUCAAUCCACUUGGAGAACUUGUCGAUUAACACGAAAACAAACUUGAAGUUGCCCGGGGCUGGUUUAAAUGGUCCGAUCAUGUCAAGCCCCCAGCAAGCAAAGGGCCAAGACGACGGGAUGGUUUGAAUUUCAUGGGCAGGUACGUGGGUCCUCUUAGCGAAAAACUGACAUCCUUCGCAAUGCCGAACCAGUUUUUCUGCGUCGCUGACCGCGGUUGGCCAAUAAAAACCUGCUCGGAAAGCCUUUCCGACCAGCGUUCUAGAUGCGGCGUGGUUGCCGCAGGAUCCGGCGUGUAUGUCCUCCAAGAGCUUGAUACCAUCGUCUUGGGGUAUGCACUUGAGCAGUACCUCGGAGCUUGCGUUUUUCCGCAUGAGUUUUCCGUCGACCAGGAUGUAGUUCUUUGAUCGUCGGAUGAGACGCUCGUUCUCUGUUUUGUCCUGAAAACCUGUCCCGUCUGAGAUGUAUUUGAUGAACGGGAUACGCCAAUCACGCCCACCGGUUGUCGGAGUGGCGUCAUCUAUGAGCAUUGCCUCGGUGGGUUGCUUGUCGACCAGGGGGGAGCUUACGCUCGGCUCAUGGAUGUCCUGGACGAAAAUACCCCGCGGGAUUUGGGCCCGAGACGAGCCUAACUUUGACAACGCAUCUGCUGCUUGGUUCUUAUCCCGGACCACGUGGAUGUACUCUAUGCCAUAGAAGUUAGUUUCCCAUUUGCGAAUUUCUUUGCAAUAGAGAUCCAUCUUCUCGUGGGUUGCGUCCCACUCCUUGUUGAGCUGGUUGAUGACCAAAGCGGAGUCGCCGUAGACAUAGAGGCGCUUGAUCCCCAGUUCGACGGCUAGUCGUACGCCAUGUAAACAAGCUUCGUAUUCGGCGACAUUGUUUGACGCCGGAAAAAGGAUCCGAAGGACGUAGCGGAGUUUGUCCUUGUUUGGUGAUACGAACAAUAUCCCAGCGCCUGCACCGUUGAUGUUCAAGGACCCGUCAAAGAACAUUGACCAGUGGUCUGAGACAUCUGGAACGGAAGGUUCGUUGAGAUCCGUCCAUUCGGCAAUGAAAUCGACCAGGGCUUGAGACUUGACAGUGGUGCGACUCUGGAACUCUAGGGAAAAUGGACAUAAUUCCAUUGCCCAUUUCACGAUUCUGCCAUUGGCGUCUUUAUUGCGCAGGAUGUCCCCGAGAGGAAAGCUGGUUGUCACCAGGACUCGAUGGCCGUCGAAGUAGUGCUUCAGCUUUCUUGACGUUAUCAGGAUGGCGUAUAUAAGCUUCUGUAUUUGUGGGUACCUGGCCUUGGAUUCGUUUAAAACUUCACUUAUGAAGUAAACGGGUCUCUGGACCUUGAAAACGUGACCUGGUUCAUCUCGCUCGACCACUAUUGCCGUGGAAACAACCCUGUCGGUUGCAGCAAUGUAAAGGAGCAGGUCUUCAUUGGGCUGAGGCGCUGUGAGGACAGGCGGUGAAGUGAGGAAGGUCUUAAGCUGAGUGAACGCAGCGUCGGCUUCUUCUGUCCAGGAGAAUUUUUCUGACGCUUUCAAUAGUUUGAAGAAAGGGAGGCCUUUUUCUCCCAGCCUUGAGAUGAAACGACUGAGGGCGGCCAUGCAUCCGGUUAGCCUCUGAAUAUCCUUGACGUUCUUCGGUGGUCGCAUGUCGAGCACGGCUUUGACUUUUGAAGGGUUUGGUCGUAUGCCGUCGCAACUGACGACGUUGCCGAGCAGUAGACCGGAAGGGACGCCGAAAAUGCAUUUCUUGGGGUUGAGCUUCCACUUGUACCUAUUGAGUGCUUUGAAGGUUCGGUCUAAGUUGUCGAUUAGGGUGCUCGCGUCCCUUGUUUUUACGACCACGUCGUCCACAUAGGCCUCGACGAGGUCAUCGCGAAUCUCGUCGUGGAGGCAUUGCUGGAUGGCCCUUUGAUAAGUGGCCCCGGCGUUUUUAAGUCCGAAAGACAUGGUAGUGUAACAGUAUGCGCCGAAGGGCGUGAUGAAGGAUGUUUUGAUCUGAUCUUCUUCCUUUAACGAGAUCUGGUGAUAACCAGAGUAGCAAUCUAGAAAGGAGAGGAGUUCGCAUCCGGCCGUUGAGUCGACCACCUCGUCGAUGCGAGGAAGACCAAAUGGAUCUUUAGGACAGUGUUUGUUGAGAUCGGUGUAAUCAACGCACAUUCUCCAUUCAUUAUUCUUUUUGCGUACAAGAACCGGAUUGGCGAGCCAAUCGGGAUGAUACACCUCUUUUAUGAAUCCGGCUGCUAGAAGCCGUGUUAUUUCUGUCCUAAUGGCCUCCUUUUUGUCACGAGCGAACCGUCGCAGUUUUUGCUUGAUUGGUCUUGCGGUCUUCGAGACGUUUAAGGAGUGCUCGAUCAGGUUUCGUGGGACACCGGGCAUGUCUGCGGGUUUCCAUGCGAAAACGCUCACGUUGUCCCUUAGAAACCUGACGAGCGCGUCUUCCUAUUUUGGAUCCAGGUUAGCCCCGAUGAGGGCUGUCUUCUCGGGGUUGCCUUCGACCAGCUGCACUUCUUUGUACUCCUUGGAUUUCGAAUUCUUUCUGGAUGUCUCCUGCUCAGGUAAUCGGAGCUGGUCGGGAGGCAGCUGUGCGGCUUGGCUUGCUGUUUCCGCCAUGCGGAUUGAGAGGUCAAUUGCCUCGGUGAUCUUGAAGCUUUCUUCUUCGCAGGUGUACGCCGUGUAGACGUUGCCUCUGACGGUUAGGACACCCUUCUCCGUGGGCAUCUUAAGCACUAGGUAUGAGUAGUGCGGGACUGCCAUGAACUUUGUCAGCGACGGGCGGCCCAGUAUGGCGUGGUAGGUCCCGUCGAAGUCCGCGACUACGAAGUUGAUGAACUCCGUCCGGAAGUGAUCGGGUGUGCCGAAUUGGACAGGCAAUGUUAUCUGUCCGAGGGGCACCGAACUUUGACCUGGCAAAACCCCCCAGAAUUGGGCGUCGUAAGGUUUUAGUUGCGCCGGUGAUAUCUUGAGGGCGGGCAGGCUGUUGCGGAAGAGGAUGUCGAUGGAGCUUCCCCCGUCCACGAGCACGCGCUCGAAUCUGAUGCUAUUGAUGCAGGGAUCAAGAAUUAGUGGGAAACGACCCGGCUCUGGGAUAGCGGCCCACUGGUCCUUCCUGCUGAACGCGAUCUCCCUGUGGGACCGGGCGGGAAAUUUCGGAUCUGCGAUCAGCCCGUCCGUGCUGUCUAUGUUGAGGCAGGCUCUCUUUAACAGCUUUCUUUCUCGCUUGGACUCAGUGGAGACCUUGCCCCCGAAAAUGGAGUGGACCACGUCGGUGGGGCUGACGUAUUGGUGUCGGGGGUCCCUGUCUUGGUCCUCAUCCUCAUCUUCGUGGUCGUGCCCGUCGCGUUUGUUAGUUUUCUUGGCGGUGUCUUCUUGGGCGGCCCGCCGUGUAUAGAUACUUUUGAGGACGCGGCACUCUUCCAUGGUAUGGUUAGACUUUGGGUGUAGCUGGCAUGGUCCCUUCAACGUUUUGUUGUAGUCUUCUUGGUAGUCCCGUCGUCCAUUGGGACGUUUAACCGUGUUUACUUCGUGGUCGUAUUCACGAGGGCGCUUUCCUCUGAAGUCGUCGCGGCUGUUGCGCCGCCGAUCCCAACCCUCUCGGUGAUCACGGUUGUCGGAGCGGCGGUGAUUUCUGUUGUCGUAGCGACCACGAUCGUCAUCUCGCCGUGAGGGCUGGUCGGUGCCUCUCGCAUCGUCUCGGAUUAGUUUUUCUGCGUCAUCAGCGUCGGCAUAAUUUUUAGCCGUGGCGAGGAGCUCUGCUACCGUUGAUGGGCGCUUACGCAACAGCUUGUUCCUCAGCGCUUCAUGGAAACGCAAGCCCUUGAUAAAGGCUGAUAUGGCCUCGUCAUGAGAAAUCUUCGGGAUUUUGAGGCGCAUAUCCGAGAAUCGUCGGAUAUAAUCGCGCAGAGGUUCAUUCUUCCUGUCUCUUAUCCUUUCAAGGUCAUAUUUGUUUCCGGGCUGCUCACAUGUGGCGAUGAAGUUGUCGAUGAAGGCCUGUCGUAGCUCUUCCCAAGAGUCGAAGGAGUCCUCGGGUAAGCCGAGAAGCCACUGAUGACCGGCCUGGUCGAGGACUACGGGGAAGUAGUUAGCCAUGACGUGCUCAUCUCCUGCCGCUGAUCGGACGGCGAUUUCGUAGAGGGUGAUCCAGUUCUCUGGAUUUUCCUUGCCGUCGUAUUUUUUAAGUUUUUCGAGCUUGAAAUUGCGGGGCCACACGACCUGGCGGAGGUGUGAGGAGAACUGCCUUAGGCCCGGAGGACCAUGGGUCGCAUCGUACUCGAUGCGGCGCAGGUUUUCGUGGACUGCUCUCUCUGCGGCGCGCCUGUUGAUGCGGUCCCGGGCAUCUUUGGGAGGGAUGUUGUGGCGGAGAUCCCUGUGUUGAUCUUCUUCUUCUUGGCCGCGUACGCGGUUCUGCUGGCGGCGGCCAUCGGCGUCCCGACCACCAUCGUCGCGCCGUGAGUCCCCUCGACGGUUGUCGGGGGAGCGGCUGCGGCGACGCCUACUGGGUGAGGCCCGGCUACGAUGAGUCUGGUCGGAGGCGGCUUCCGUAUAAGAGACGUCCUGGACUCUCUUGAGCAGAGUGGCUGUCUGCCCCAUCGCGGCGAUCAGGUGUGCUCGGAUACUGGUCCGGACUCCCUGGCAUUCGGGGGUGUCAGGAAGCCGAUCCAGGUUGGCCAUGGCGACAGCCACGUUGGCGCUUGGCGUUUUGUAGACCGGCUGGUCCCCGACCAUAUCAAAGGCAUCGUUGAGGUUGCCUGGUGGCGUCUGUUGUUGCUCGUCCGCACGCCGUCGGGCGCGAUCGGCGUUACGCUGUUCGCGGAGUUGCCUCUGGUCGUCUGUUUCUCCGUCAACAGCCGGUUCGUCGGCGCUGACAUUGAAUACGAUAUCCCCUCGCCGGGGGGGGAAUAUCGGGAAUCGGUCGAAACCCGGAGGGUGUGAAGGAAAAUCCAGGUCGUAGCCCUCGUCUUCGGUAUUCACAACCUCGGUGGGGACGGAGCCGGUGCUUGAGUUGGUGCUAGAAACCUGGCCGUCCCGUAGCUCUCGGAUGGUCACCAUGUUGACAUGGUGACGAUUGUUCCUUGUCGGCGACCAGCCCGCUUUGCUAAAAACGGAUUGGACAUGCUGUGAGUAAACAGAGGCCGAGUUGCUCAGGCCGCAAGGAUAGUCUUCCUUUUUGAGCUCGACGGAUCGUCCUGAGGGGGUCGAGGUUAUCGUCAGGGACGUUCCCAGCCGUUCGUGUGUGGCGACACGAGUUGGCCGGCGGAAUUUCGAAAAAUCCGCUCGAGCAGCUUGGUCGGGCCGGCGCAGAACUCCAUCUAUUAGUUGGGAGACUUCGAGUAGCUUGGAGUCAGCGCGAUCGAGCGCUUGGAGGAGGUCCGAGCAGUCGAUCUCCUUUCCCCUGUAGAGCGGGAACGGUGGUCGGGAGCUUGGUGCCGUCAUGCGUGUGGUCGGAGACGGCGUGAUCUCAGAUUGGAUCUGGAUCUCUUUCGGAACCGUGGUCGCAAAACCGCCGUUGCACGUCGUCCACGUGAUCUGGCCGACGGUGAACGUGAGGCCUUCGGGCACGGUCGCGGAAGCUGGGAUCGUGACCAUCUUGUUCGCCGGAAAAGUUGCACGCACACCCCCUACCUGGCGCGCCACUGUCGACGAAAGCUGGUCGGCAGUCUACCUUGGGGUAUACCCACGGUAGUAGUUUAUCGGUAGACGGUGCGCGAACUACGAACUCGAUGGUGACGCAAGACACGGACAAGCUUUUUAUCCAGGUUCGGCCGCCGAGUUGGCGUAAUACCUACGUCCUGCGUCUGGUUGUAUUGAUUUGUGUUGAGAGAAUAUGAUAUGUCCUAGGGGGGUCCCUUGCCCCUCCUUAUAUAGUCUGGAGGGCAGGGUUACAGAUCUGGAAACUAAUCCUAGUCGGUUACAAUUGCCAUGGAUAAUUCGAUAUCAAUUCCUAUUCUAACCGACUAGAAUCCUGCUUGAUCUCCACAUCUUGUUUCCUUACGCGAAACUCCAGGUUGUCGGAUCAAGCCUUGAACUCGUCUCGUAAUGGGCCAAGGCUCCUGGCCCAAGUCUAGCCGUAAGGGUAUAGGGGUUUAUACCCCCACAGUAGCCAUAGAUGAGGCCAGUGCGGAUCUCAAAGCUUCCAUUCCCCAUAUUGACAGCGGGCCCAGUCGGCAUGUUGGCAACAGCGUGAGUGGAGUAGUCACAGAGUGACUUGGCCAUAGCGAUUGGUGCGGUUGGUGCUGGAACGGUUGAUUCGCUUGCCGGUUGCGUAGCAGAAGAAGAGACGGUACGAAUCCUUCUCUUCCUUAGGAGUGUUUCUAUUGACACCGUUUUUGGACAUGUACCCAGGAUCGGUAGAGUGUAGAUCGGCAAGAUAGGGUAACAGUAACUGGUCUGCAGGGGAGUUGCCGAUGAGGGAGGUUGCCGAUGAAGGGACAGCUGAAUGAGACUAAGUCCGUGGGUGGUGACGCAUUCAUGCUGAUGGUCAAGCAUUAGCUUUUGCCGAUGGCUACGAUGAGGAGUCUACCGAUGAUUUAGAAGGAGAACCUGAAGGUUGCCGAUUGGUCCAUGGUGGUGUCCCAGUUUGUCACGGGAGGAUAGUUUUGUGUUUUCCUUAGUUAUUUAGAUCGUUUUGUAUACGGAUUCUGUUUAAUUUAGAAUUCGAAUCCUAGUCGUGUCUGAUUGUAGCUCUUUGAGCAGGGUAUAAAUGUAGACCCUAGGGCCUUGUAAUGAGACAAGAAUCAAUCAAUCAAACAGAAGUUUUUACUCAUAUUCUAGCAUCUACUUUUUCGAUGACUUUGUCAUAUUUUCUUUUUCAUUACGAGUUCUUAGGAGUUCGUCGACUUAAGCUCGACGUAUUCUCGAGUUCCGCGUGAAUACCUCUUGGCCGUGGCAUCCAGGCGCAUCGCUGUUGUCGGGACCAAAGUAUUCGAGUUAUCACCUUUGCCGAUAGUAAGGUCAAAUCGGCUCGCAUGCCUUAACGUUUGAAUCGGGUAUUAGCCCUUUGUGUUUGCAGAUCUACUUUUUGCAUCAACAAAUCUUUUGGCAUGCCCGGUGGGACAAGAUUCAAGAUCAAGAUCGACAUGUCAACUACUGAGUUCGAUCAGGAGAACGUCAUCCCUGUGACGGAAGCCAAUCUCAAUGAUGAGCAGAAACAAGCUAUUGCGAAAGCCAUGGAGGAUUUCAAGCAGCAAUGUUUGAGAUCCUUCAGGAUCAACAGGAGCGGCGAAGUGAUUGUUGACACUUGCUAACACCACUUGAAUACUAGGUUGUCAUCCCCAGCAUGGCACUAGAGCGUACUAUGGUAUUUAUACGCACACAGAUAAUCCGCAAGCGCACGGAUACCAUUGAAGCUUUUACCCGGUUAAAGGUUUUAUCGUAUCCACAGGGAAACGGAAGAACUGAUCUACGCUCUAACUUAACCAAGAUAGAUAGAUAGGUGUGAAUAGGUAAGAUGGUAGAAUUGAAUAAGAACAAUAUUAGAGGUAAGAUAACAGUGAGUGAUAAUAUGGGAAUAGAGAGUAGAGCAAUAUAGUAUAUAGGCGAUGGUAGCAGAAUAGAGAGGAUAACUAUGGUUUCUCUACUUCAAAGGGGUAUGUCUAUGUCUGGGACGAACCACGUGAUAAGAGUACACCACAAAGGAUGCUUAUCCUUAGGCCGAUAAACCCUACUCGUCCUGCUAACGAGAGGUGGACUACAGACAACCAACAUAACUGUCACCUACGCGGCCCACCACACGAUCCAGCUAGAAAGGGGAUAUCCACAAGUAAUCUAGGUCUAAGCACCACGCUUACACCUAUACUACAACUCUAACCUACAGUGUCCUAUAGAUUAGAAGUACUCAAAAGAGUUGUGAACCAGAACAUACAUGAUUAGUAAUUGCAUAAUGAAUUAGAAGUAUAUUACCAGAGUCAUCCCAUGAGCAAGCUUGAUUAGAGCUUGAUCAUGACGAAGUACAACCGGAGGAAGAACCGACAGGCCGGCCUCUCCUCUAAUCCUCCUUCGCUCUCCAUCUUGCUACUAUCUAGAUCUACUCUAGUUUAGAGAAGAGAGGAGAGCUCUCAUCCCUAAACCCUGGCUUAUGCUCUGUCUAUGAAUAAUGAAUAAUGAUCAAGGGGUGCCUCCUCCAGGGGCCAGGGGGUCUGGGUAUAUAGUCCCCUCAAGUGAACCUGGGCCGUCGGAUCAAACCGACAUUGAUUGAACGGUUAUUCUUGAUCCUUUAGGUCGGUGGAGAUCUCCCGAGAGAAAGAGUCCUGAUUGGGCUCCAAGUCAGGGCGGGCGCCCAGGGUAGGAGGGCGGGCGCCCUGCCUCUGGCCCUGUUCGGCCUCCGCUUCCUUCCCGUGGCUUCUGGAGUCUUCUAGAUAUAAGAUAAUUGCGCAGCACGUUAAUAUCUCUAUGUAAUCCCGAUGUGUGGGCCUUUCUUCCGUAUUUCCUGAUAACCCCCUGCAGAAAUAGACGAACACCAAAACUCGUGGAAUUCUGUCAGAUAAAACCCUAAGUCUAGAUGUUGAUUUCAUUUGGAUCCUUUUCUUUGUUUAUUUGAUAAUUAAAUUUGAUACUUAAGGACCAUCAACAAACUCCCCCAAGCUUACCUCUUGCUCGUCCCUGAGCAAGGAUAGACUCAGUAGUGGAUCAGAAGUUGUUGCAAUAUCUUAAAAAUUUGACGGUACACAUGCUUUUAAAUAAGAUCUCAUCUCUGAGUUAGAGUAAACUGUCAAGAACUAAAACUUACAUACUUUACCUUUCAGCAUGGGACUUGUAACCGUCACUUCUGUCUUGAGUAGUUAAAAGAUAGAACAGUCAAGCCAAGUGCCAUGUCUCUUAUUCUUGAUCAGCUAUAGCUCUGGAGUUUUUGCAGAUUUUCAAAUAAAACUCAGAGAUUUCUUGUAUGACUCUCUAAAUCUCUCUUUUAUGGUAUUUCUGGAUCCUUACCAAGGUAGUGAUGGUAUAUGCCUUCUUUCAAGAUAUGUGGUAUUUGUGGUAUAAGGCAUAGUGACAUUGCCUUCUCUCUCACCCUACUCUAAUAAGACUUUAAUAUCUGGAGCUCAUAGGUGGGAGAUAAAGUAUACAUACUUACAAGACAUUUAUUGUAUAGUCAAACCAUGGAUCCAAAAAACAAAUCAAUAAGCCAAAUCAAGAUGUGCAUGUGUGGCGAAUGAAUGGUGUAUGGUGAUGAUGGUGAUAACAAUGGUGAAAGUCUAAUUCUACUUUUGCUCUUUUGAGGGGAUACAUACUUUCCUUGCUUUUUGAAACUUUAUUUCCUCGUUUAUUUUUUUUCUUUUCUUCUCUUUUCUUUUAUUUUUUUUCAGAGCACUCAUCUCUUGAUAUAAUAUAGCAAGUGGCAGUAGCAAGAUAACUUGAGCAUUUAUUUCACAAGGGAAAACAGAAAUAUUUUUGGCUAUUCUCUCCCGGAUUAGGAGUAGAAUAUUUUUGGGUGGUUCUGGAGAUGGACAUGGAUGGAUAUAUGUCGAUGGUAGUUCCGAAGUAGAAGUAGCAUAUAUGAGUGAACGUGCAAGUGAAUCUUGAUUUAACCACAUGACAAGCUCCUAAGGGUCUACACAGCUUGACCAUACUCAAUGCUCAUAAGCAGUAAAUAGUAAAUGUGUGGCUCAAAGUCUAGCAAGCAUGUAUAUAUGGCUAUGGUAGGAAUUUAAACUCUCAUCAUACAGGAACUCAUCAUGCAAUAUUUUAAAGACUUUUCUAAGAUAAAAAUUCUCUAGAAUUCUAGCAUCUCUAGGAACAUAUAAACUGCAGCUCAACCUUCCCAUAUCAUAUCCGUUAACAACUUAGACUUCAGAUCAAGUUUUCAUCCCACAAGUUUAGGUCUAGAGCAAGCUUCAAAUUAUAACAGUUAUGUCUAAACUUGAAAGAGAACUUCAAAUUUUAAAAAUUAGGCAGAGCAACUAUUCAUCAUAUCCAUGCUUGAGUUUUAUUUCGAUACAGAUUAGCAUAGCCACUUUAUUUAUUUAUUAAACACACUAAGCAAAAGAUAUAUAUAUGUAAACACAAAAUCUUUAUUUGGUUUUUCAUAGUUAUGUAUAACUAUAUUUUAAUACAGUAUAAGUAUAAAGAUAGAUAGAUAGAAACACUUAUCGGGAUAAAUAGGGGUGCUCUCCCCCAAGCUGAAUUUUGACGUAAUUUCCCUUGAUGUAGCUAGCAGGUGGCAGAGGUGUAUUUGAGAGUCAGCAGCAUUCUGACAGCGAUUAGAAUGUCCUCCGUCUGCUAGUCUUCUUGAUUCUUAAAUCCUGUGGAGCUCAAAUAGACAACAAAGCUUGUGGAACUGAUUAAGUGUUAGCAUAAAUAUCUAGCCUUCAUCAUGUUGAGCUUCCUCAAUAAAUAUUACUCCCUGUUUUUAUAUUUUUAUUUUAUCAAGCAGAAAAUAAAUAUUUAUUUUAUUUUUAUGCCACCACAGUGAAGGUACUCAUCGGUUUUAUGCCACUCGUAUACUCACAUGGGGCUUAGUAUUUUUUAACAUUUUUAUUUUCUUUUCAAGAUAGCAUGAUUAACUAAUAAUCUAUUUAAGGAAAGUAAAUAAUUAAAGGGAAAAGGGAAUGCAGAAAGGAUAAAUAUGGAUAACUACCGAUCUUACCUUUCGGCGAGGGUUCAAUGUUUUAAGUCUUCUUAACAAGACUUCUCACCGUGUUCAUUCUUCAGGUGCGUCAUUUGAUUCAGGUGCGGACCUUGACGUCUGCACCUCUUCGUUUGCCCAGCAGUUUGAAGUGUGGCGUUGGCAGUAUCCUGCUCAGUGUGUUUGUACUCGUAGAUCCAGGUCCUUCACUUGGUAGAGUCUGAGAGUUAUAAAACUCCUCCGUGUUUUGCUCGAAGUGUACCUGCUCAUAGAGAUAAGGCAGAGAUCAAGUGCAUGGGUCCUGUUGGUGAAAAACACCAACAGAACCUAAAGUGUAUUUGUUCUUCUCUAACCUUAAGCAUAGUGAGCAAGACAAAAUCAAUGGAUGAUAAGUUCAUGAGUGUAGCACUUAUAACAUUUGUCAGAUCAGAUCGCUCAACCUUAUGGAAAGAUAAUCUAUCUAUGUAUAUGUCUUUUUCUUUAUAUCUCUCAAUGAUUGAAUGUGUAACAUUUUAGCUCAUAUGAUUAGGAGUGUGUGAUCAUGGAGGUAGUACUAAGAACAAGGAUUAAAGGACUAAACAUGUUGAAUCAGUUGGGUUGGUUAAUCUAGAGUUGUAAAUCAUACAUGUUUGUCUCUUUUAUUCAUAUGAACGCCAGAACCAAGGAGAAGCUUAUAAAAGUGAUAGUCAAGUACCUUAAGAUGUUACCUUGCUUGAAGAGUGAUGGUACAGUAUCACCUUGUGGAAGCUUUCCUUUCUUAGCGGUUGUGCAUCGUGUUUGUGGCACCCUCCAUGGAUCAUCUCUAUGAUGAAUGAGCUAUGUCCUUCUUGUGCAAAUUGCUAAACUUCAUGUGUCACUCUCUUCGUCUCUGAUGUGAGUUUAUCUCAGGACUUCCCAAAUCGAUAUUGAAAGUUUUUCUGCAGGGGUUAGUCGGACAAAAAUAUACCAAUGUCUACACAAGCAGUUUUUAGUUCAAUAACCAAACUAGACUCCAUGUCUAAUCAGAUUAAGGAAGGCUGUUUAACCUAAGCACCAUGCUUAAUUUAAAAGCCAAUAGAAGUAUGUGCAGUACUUCCAAACUAACACUUACUAGUAAAUAGACAAAGGUAACAUGACAGCAUUUAUAGAGAUCUACUCAAGUGGAGAUGAAGUAGUGUGAUUAGUAUUUAACAAAUUGAGCAUGUCUUAAAGGUAGGGACAACCAACAUAGCAACAUGGCAAAGGAUGUUUUAUGUAAAGUACUCCCCCAAGCUUGAAUUUUGCAGAAUUCAAGUUUGGAUGAAUUCAAUUCAGUGUUGCAUGAUGAUUGGUUGGACAUACCUUGUACUUGCUUGUCAUUCAUCUGAUCUUCUUGUUCCAAUCCUGGAAAGGUUAGUGACAAGAAUACCCGAAGGAAUAUUUUUACAAUUAUCCGUAUAUGCUCAAUACACAAGGUAAUGUUGCAAAUAAUUUAAAACUCAUGUUAUGAUUUGAUCAGUGCUUAUUUUAGGACACCAAGCUUGUCCUUGGGAAACCAUCAAUUUAUGUCGGCGAAGUGGUUUCCCUUCCAACGCUGACCUAAAUUAAGAUCAACUCAACGAUAUCUGCAAUAUUUAUUAUAGACAUAUGCAUCGACAACCGCCCUUUUAAAGUUUUUAUAAAUAGAAAGGAAGAGGGGGUUGGAGAUCUCAAAUGUGGUGAUGUUGGAGAGACCAAUAGAUUUGGAAGAUGUUGCAUAUGAGCAUGGAGUAAACAAAGUGGCUAUGAAAUAAAUUCCAUGCUCAUUAAUGUUAUCUUCGUCUCCAAUCUGAAUGUUCAGAGUUUCUCUUGGAUUGGUCUCACUUAUGUCCUCUUCUAUAGUUGGAUGAAUCCCAUCUUCAAAGGGAGUCAAGAACUCACCAUUUGAAAUUGAGCCAAAGUCAGAAUCCAGUAAGGCUUCUUCCUUAUCCAUCCAUUCUACACAUUCUAGCCAUUUAGAACUUGUGAUCAGGAAAGGGGAGGUGUUAGAAUUUUCAAUAUGGCUUAGCUCUCCUUCACUUGAUAUGUCAUCCUCGACUUCUUCAUAACAGGAACCAGGACACUCUCUAAGAGAACCAUUAUUGCGAGUAUUUGAAUUAUCCCUACUUGAAGGUCUCUUAUGGAACCAGAAGUCUAAACCAUCAGCAUCUGAAAGAUUUAAGGUCGGAAUUCCUUCCUCCCUUGGAGAAUUUUGGGGUAUUGAUGGUUUAGGAUCGAUAGCUAAAGUUUGGAAUUGAAGUGGUUGUGAUCUGGCUAUCGAAACUUCUUCUUUUUGUCUAGGAACUGGUUCUGUCUCUUUCUCAGGGAUAUAAAAGCUAGGAGACUUUCCACUUAAUAAAUCAAUCAAAUUCCAAGCUUCACUAGCAGGUAGGUAAUAGAAGGAUCCUCUAGAGGCUGUAUUCAAGGUUUGCUUAUUUUCCCCACUAAGGCCUCAAAAAAUUGAAUUAGAAGAACUUCUUCUGGAAUAGAAAGCUUUGGGCCAGUGAGAGUAAGGUUAAUAAAGCGGUCCUAUGAUUUCCUAAGAGAUUCUUCUUCCAGUUGUCUAAAAGAAAUAAUCUCACGCCGAAGUUCCGCCACUUUGGAGAUUGGAAAAUAUUUAGAAAAAAAACUACUAUAUAACUCCUUCCAAUCUCUAUGAACACUCUCUAUUUUGAGUUUGUACCAAUGUCUAGCUUUUCCCGUUAGAGAGAACGGAAAGAGCUUCCAUUUAAGGGUCUCAUCGGACAUUCCUUCUAUGCGGAGGAGGUCACAGACUCGAUAAAACUCUCUUAGGUGUGUGUAUGGGUUUUCCUCACCUUCUCCUGAGAAAGGUUGUUUUUGAACAAAUUCUAUGUAUUCGGGGUCUAUCUCAAAACUAGAUGCUAUGAUAGGUUUUGAAGAUUUUGGUGGUUCGAGAUGUGUGCCCGUAGGUCUAAGAAAUUCAUAGAUAGACAUGUUUGAAUUCAUGAUAGACCAGAGAUCAAGGAUUAGAUAAGAAGAAAGAUUAGCAGAGAUGAGGCAAAGGAUAAAAGGAAAUAUAUAUUUUUUUUAAUUAUUAUUAUUUUUUAGAAAAUGAUUAAGCUAGUUCGUAGUCAACUCAGCAACCGUUUCCCCGGCAACUGCGCAAAAAAUGCUUGUUGACACUUGCUAACACCACUUGAAUACUAGGUUGUCAUCCCCAGCAUGGCAUUAGAGUGUACUAUGGUAUUUAUACGCACACAGAUAAUCCGCAAGCGCACGGAUACCAUUGAAGCUUUUACCCGGUUAAAGAUUUUAUCGUAUCCACAGGGAAACGAGAGAACUGAUCAACGCUCUAACUUAACCAAGAUAGAUAGAUAGGUGUGAAUAGGAAAGAUGGUAGAAUUGAAUAAGAACAAUAUUAGAGGUAAGAUAAAAGUGAGUGAUAAUAUGGGAAUAGAGAGUAGAUCAAUAUAGUAUAUAGGCGAUGGUAGCAGAAUAGAGAGGAUAACUAUGGUUUCUCUACUUCAAAGGGGUAUGUCUAUGUCUGGGACGAACCACGUGAUAAGAGUACACCACAAACGAUGCUUAUCCUUAGGCAGAUAAACCCUACCCGUCCUGCUAACGAGAGGUGGACUACAGAGGACCAACGUAAUAGUCACCUACACGGCCUACCACACGAUCCAGCUAGACAGGGGAUAUCCACAAGUAAUCUAGGUCUAAGCACCACGCUUACACCUAUACUACAACUCUAACCUAUAGCGUCCUAUAGAUUAGAAGUACUCAAAAGAGUUGUGAACCAGAACAUACAUGAUUAGUAAUUGCAUAAUGAAUUAGAAGUAGAUUACCAGAGUCAUCCCAUGAGCAAGCUUGAUUAGAGCUUGAUCAUGACAAAGUACAACCGGAGGAAGAACCGACAGGCCGGCCUCUCCUCUAAUCCUCCUUCGCUCUCCAUCUUGCUACUAUCUAGAUCUACUCUAGUUUAGAGAAGAGAGGAGAGCUCUCAUCCCUAAGCGCUAGCUUUUGCUCUGUCUAUGAAUAAUGAAUAAUGAUCAAGGGGUGCCUCCUCCAGGGGCUAGGGGGUCUGGUUAUAUAGUCCCCUCAAGUGAACCUGGGCCGUCGGAUCAAACCGACAUUGAUUGAACGAUUAUUCUUGAUCCUUUAGGUCGGUGGAGAUCUCCAGAGAGAAAGAGUCCUGAUUGGGCUCCAAGUCACGGCGGGUGCCCAGGGCAGGAGGGCGGGCGCCCUGCCUCUGGCCCCGUUCGGCCUCCGCUUCCUUCCCGUGGCUUCUGGAGUCUUCUAGAUGUAAUAUAAUUGCGCAGCACGUUAAUAUCUCUAUGUAAUCCCGACGUGUGGGCCUUUCUUUCGUAUUUCCUGAUAACCCCCUACAGAAAUAGACAAACACCAAAACUCGUGGAAUUCUGUCAGAUAAAACCCUACGUCUAGAUGUUGAUUUCAUUUGGAUCCUUUUCUUUGUUUAUUUGAUAAUUAAAUUUGAUACUUAAGGACCGUCAAUAGUGAUCUAGAAGGAAGCACUGUCGAUGCCUCGGCAGGUUACUUUUGAAGCCAAUCCUGGUAAACUUCAAGACAUGGUUGAGAAUGCUAUUAACCGUGCUUUGAUCAAUCAAGAUGGUGUGCUGUCCAAUACGGUUUUCAAUGCCAUGGCUAGAACUUUCAAAGAAGGACAGUUGCCACCAAAUUAUGUGGGCCCUUCUCAUCAUCAGCCAGGAUCACCGGUGGUCACAGCUCCAUCGACUGCUACAGCCGCUGCGGGCACAGAAACUACUGUUUCUCCAAGCACGUUAGGAGUCACUAACGCACAAUCUACGCCGAUGACGACCAAUCCAUCGACUUCAGAUGGGCAGAUUAAGCUUGCUACAGAUCUAUUCGCAUCGGCAAUGUCGGGAUCGGUGCCUUCUCCUAACUGGUGGGGUUAUGGUAUGCCUCCAGAGUUGACGUUGAAGACACCUAGCAUAUCUCAGACGGCUGAUGUGAGAGGCAAGGCUCCUAUGGCAUCGGGACCUCCAAAUAUGCCGAUGAAUCAGAGUCCCCAGUAUACUACAACCACUACUGCAAGGCCUUACACUGGGAAUUCUCAAGAUCCAACGCUCCAGAUGCCUAAUGCAUCGGCAGAUUCAGUGCCGACGCACAGAGGUUUAUGACUCAGUCAGGGUAUGUCAAUUCAAUGAUGAUGCCUAAUUACCAGACGUCGGCAGGAUCUAUGCCGAUGAAUGCUAAUAGUGGAUGGCCUGAGCAGCAAGUCUUUCCACAAAUGCCCCAACAGCAUCAUCAAGCUACAGGGUUUCAACAAGGCCAGAUCUACCCUGGAUUCCAGAAUCAAGGGUUGGUCAACCAGCCGAUGAAUCUCGGUGGUCAGCAGUUUGGUGGUCAGUAGAUCGGUGGUCAGCAGAUUGGUGGCCAGAUGAUUAACCCAAUGUUCUAUGCAGAUCGCGCACCACAUAGACACGUGGAAGCAUAUCAGCAGAUCCCAGAUCCGCAACCGCCUCAUCGGCAAGAUGCCGAUGCUUAUUGGGCCGAUAAGAUUGCUGAAGUAAUGAGAGACCAAGUUGGGACAAAACCCAAAGUCAACACUUACUCUUAUCGGACACCGUAUCCUCCUGCAUAUGAUUUAAUCCCGCUUCCAAAUCGGUACAAAGUGGCGGAUUUUACUAAGUUCUCUGGGCAGGAUGAUACAUCGACCAUGGAGCACGUCAACAGGUUCAUCAUUCAGUGUGGAUAAGCUGCUAACAGGGACAAGUUAAGGGUUCGCUUGUUCUCGUCAUCAUUAUCUGGAUCGGCUUUCACUUGGUUUAUAUCAUUACCUCCUAACUCAGUGAUUACUUGGGCCGAUCUAGAGAAGCAAUUCCACAAAUACUUCUUUUUCUGAAGUCCAUGAGAAGAAGACCACCGAUUUGGUCAAAUUGAAGCAACGCAAUGAUGAAUCGGUUGAGAGUUUUGUGCAGAGAAUAUGGGAGGUCAAGAACAAAUGCUAUAGUCUAGUUUUGGAUGAUCGACAGCUAGCCGAUUUGGCUUUCCAGGGUUUGUUGCCACGUAUCAGGGACAAGUAUGCAUCUCAAGAGUUCGAAAGCUUAAGUCAUUUGGUGCAGAGAAUUUCUGAUCAAGAUAUCAGGCCUUUUGAGCCCAAGAGAGCAUGGAACAAAAAGGUAUCAUUUGUGGAUGAAGCAGCAAGCUCGGACUCUGAUGAGGAACCAGUCACCGGCUUGGCAGAAUGGGUAAAGAAUAAGAAGCCGAUGUCUUGCCCUUUUGGGCACAAGGAGCCGGAGAAGUUCGCGUUUGACAUCACCAAAGCCGAUAGGAUAUUUGACUUCCUACUUUAGGAAGGUCAGAUCAAAUUGUGACCCAAUCAUGUAAUCCCAUUGGCUGAAGAAUUAAAGAAGAUGAAAUACUGCAAAUGGCACAAUGCAACUUCUCACAGCACCAAUGAGUGCAAAGUUUUUAGACAACAGCUGCAAUCGGCUAUAGAAUCUGGGAGGAUCAAAUUUGACACCUCCAAAACUCAGAAGCCGAUGAAGAUUGAUCAACAUCCUUUCCCAACAAACAUGCUGGACGCUAAGGGAAAGGCCAAGGUCUUGACAUCGGAAGCAGCUGAAAGAAGUGCAUCAAUGGAUCCUCAGCAUCAGAUCACUACUGCCGAUGCAAAAGGAAAAGGCUUAAUCCAGGAAAGAAAUAGCUCAGGAAGGCCUCCCCGAUCUGGUAUUGUCAUAACUCAUAGAAGGCCUAAGGAGACUUGGCAGCAAUGUGAGGAUCGAUAUCGGCGCCAGCAAGAAGACUAUCAUCGGGAAGAAGAAAGACGCCGACAAGAGUGGAAUCGGCAUAGGGAUCACUGGAAUUGUCCGUUCUUCGUCCAUUGUUGGGAGGAAAAUAUCAAGCUUCCUACUGUUAGAGACUGCCCGGAAUGUAAUGGUUAUGAUCGGUAUGAUAGAUCAAAUCGGCAGUAUCAGAACAAUGACCGCCGGUUUGAUGGGCUGAUUAGGGGGAGAGCGUCGGUUCAUGAUCGGCUGGGGGGCAGGCUCAGUGUGCAUGAUAGGCUUGGUGACCGUGUUGAAUAUUUUCCUAGGAACCAAGAAGAACUUGAGGAGAUGGCUAAUGCAUGGGUUCCCGAUGAGUUCAUAUUUUGCAGGGACGCUAACACUUAUCGGAUGGAGUCAAGGGAAAAUCGUCUCCCAUCGGUAAAGCAGCAACAACUUCCUCCAUAGUGUCCAGAGGGAUUGACCAGGGCACAGAAGAGAAGAUUGCAGCGCGAAAGACGAGAGGAGCUAAGCAAGGGCGAGAACUCUGGCCAACCUAGAGAUCAACAACAAUCAGAUCCUAAGGGGAAAGGGCCAUCGGCAGAUGUCAACAUGGUAUUUAUGUUGUCGAUGGAAUUCCUUGCACCGUCCAGUGAUGAUGAGGGGGUGGAGUUUUCCGACCAGAUAGCUCAGUUGGCUCUAGAUCCGAUGACGGCUAUCUUUGAAAAGCCUGCCGACAAUGAAAGGCAGUAUCUCAAAGCUCUGUUUGUCAAAGGGAGAGUUGAUGGUCAGCCCAUGACUAAAAUUUUAAUUGAUGGUGGAGCUGCUAUCAACAUCAUGCCAUAUGCAGUGUAUCGGAAGCUUGGAAAAGGAGAUCAGGAUUUGACCAAGACCGAUAUGAUGCUCAAAGACUUUGAAGGGAAUGUGUCUCCGGUUAAGGGAGCCAUCUGUGUUGAAUUGACUAUCGGCAGCAUGACCUUGCCGACAACUUUCUUUGUGAUCAGUGGAAAAGGUGCUUAUAAUUUGCUGUUGGGAAGAGAUUGGAUUCAUGCCAAUUGUUGCAUCCCGCCUACAAUGCACAAGUGCUUGGUCCAGUGGGUAGGUGACAAGAUUGAGAUUGUCCCGAGAGAUUCUUCUUAUGUCAUCGCAUUGGCACAGGCGGACACCUAUGAAAGAACUAGGUGUAUCUUGGGAGAAAUUUGGGAGAAGGAUUUUCUCAAACUUGCCGAUUAUGAAAUUCCACCGAUCCAAGCUGUCGGUUCUGAUGAAGGUUUUUAAUGGAUAGGUUCGCCGAUGAUGGAAAAUUAGGCCAGGGAUUCACAUCGGCCGAUGAUUUGGUAGAGGUAGAUAUAGGUAGUGGUGAUAAGCCUAGACCUACUUUUAUUAGUGCUAAGUUAAAUUCCGAGUGUAAGCAACAGUUAACCAAUUUGUUAAAGGAAUAUAAAGAUUGCUUUGCUUGGGAUUAUACUGAGAUGCCUGGUUUGGACCGAUCAAUUAUUGAACAUCGGUUGCCUAUCAAGUCUGGAUUUCGGCGACAUCAACAACCAGCUCGCCGAUGUAAUCCUAAUAUUCUUCCUGGCAUCAAGGCCGAAAUAACUAAACUUAUCGAGGCUAAAUUUAUUCGGCAAUGUCAGUAUGCCGAGUGGAUCUCCAAUGUUGUUCCAGUCUACAAGAAAAAUGGGAAGCUUCGGGUUUGCAUUGAUUUUAGGAAUCUCAAUAAAGCUACGCCGAUGGAUGGUUACCCAAUGCCAGUUGCCGAUCUGCUAGUUGAUGCCGCGGCUGGGCAUCGGAUCAUCAGCUUUAUGGAUGGCAAUGCAGGAUACAAUCAGAUAUUCAUGGUUGAAGAGGAUAUUCCAAAAACUGCAUUUAGAUGUCCUGGUCAUGUUGGGUUGUUUCAAUGUAUAGUCAUUGUUGACACUUGCUAACACCACUUGAAUACUAGGUUGUCAUCCCAGCAUGGCACUAGAGUGUACUAUGGUAUUUAUACACACACAGAUAAUCCGCAAGUGCAUGGAUACCGAUGUAGCUUUUACCCAGUUAAAGGUUUUAUCGUAUCCAGAGGGGAAACGGGAGAACCAACUACGCUCUAACCUAACCAAGAUAGAUAGAUAGGUGUAAAUAGGAAAGAUGGUAGAAUUGAAUAAGAACAGUAUUAAAGCUAAGAUAACAAUGGGUGAUAAUAUGGGAAUAGAGAGUAGAGCAAUUCUAGUAUAUGGACGAUGGUAGUAGAAUAGAGAGGAUAACUAUGGUUUCUCUACUUCAAAGGGGUAUGUCUAUGUCUGGGACGAACCAUGUGAUAAGAGUACACCACAAAGGAUGCUUAUCCUUAGGCCGAUAAACCCUACCCGUCCUGCUAACGAGAGGUGGACUACAGAGGACCAACGUAACUAUCACCUACGCGGCCUACCACACGAUCCAGCUAGAUAGGGGAUAUCCACAAGUAAUCUAGGUCUAAGCACCACGCUUACACCUAUACUACAACUCUAACCUGUAGGGUCCUAUAGAUUAGAAGUACUCAAAAGAGUUGUGAACCAGAACAUACAUGAUUAGUAAUUGCAUAAUGAAUUAGAAGUAGAUUACCAGAGUCAUCCCAUGAGCAAGCUUGAUUAGAGCUUGAUCAUGACGAAGUACAACCGGAGGAAGAACCGACAGGCCAGCCUCUCCUCUAAUCCUCCUUCGCUCUCCAUCUCGCUACUAUCUAGAUCUACUCUAGUUUAGAGAAGAGAGGAGAGCUCUCAUCUCUAAAUCCUAGCUUUUGCUCUCUCUAUGAAUAAUUAAUAAUGAUCAAGGGGGUGCCUCCUCCAGGGGCCAGGGGUUCUGGUUAUAUAGUCCCCUCAAGUGAACCUGGGCCGUUGGAUCAAACCGACAUUGAUUGAACAGUUAUCCUUGAUCCUUUAGGUCGGUGGAACAUCUUCCCGAAAGAGAGUCUUGAUCCAACUCUGUAGCUGGGCGGGCGCCCUGCCCCCGAGCCCGCUCGGCUUCCCAUUCGUUCCCGUGGCUUCUGGAGUCUUCUAGAUGAUAGAAAAUUGAGCGGCACGUUAAUAUCUCUAUGUAGACCCGACGUGUGGGCCUUUCUUCCGUAUUUCCAGAUAACCCCCUGCAGAAAUAGACAAACUCCAAAACUCAUGGAAUUCUGUCAGAUAAAACCCUAAGUUUGGGUGUUGGUUGCAUUUGGAUCCUUUUCUUUAUUUAUUUGAUGAUUAUAUUUGGUACUUAAGGACCGUCAACAACUCCCCCAAGCUUACCUCUUGCUCGUCCCUGAGCAAGGAUGGACUCAAGAGUUUCUACAGUGGUUUUAUGCCUUAAAGGUAUACAUGCGUUUAAACAAGAUCUUGUCUCUAUGUUAGGGUAAAUUGUUAAGAUUUAAACUUACUCAUAUUACCUUCCACCAUGGGGCUUGCAACCGUCACUUGUGUCUUGAGCAGUUAAAAGAUAGAACGGUCAAGUCCAGCACCAUGUCUCUUGUUCUUUGAUCAACUAUAGCUCUCGAGUUUUUGUAGAUUUUCAAAUAAAACUUAGAGAUUCCUUGUAUGACUCUCUCUAGUCUCUCUUUUGUGGUAUUUCUGGAUCCUUACUAAGGCAGUGAUGAUAUACACCUUCUCUCAAAGUAUGUAGUAUUUGUGGUAUGAGGCAUAGUGAUAUUGCCUUCUCUCUCACCCUACUCUAAUAAGGUUUGAUAUGUGGAGCUCAUAGGUGGGAGACAGCUAAUACAUACUUACAAGACAUUUAUUGCAUAGUCAAACCAUGGAUCCAGAGAAACAAGUCAAUAAGUCAAAUCAAGAUGUGCAUGUGUGGCGGAUGAAUGGUGUAUGGUGAUGAUGGUGAUAAUGGUGAAAAUAAUGGUGAAAGUCUAAUUCUACUUUUGCUCUUUUGAGGGAAUACAUACCUUUCUUGCACUUUGAAGGUUUUUGAGAGGAAUGAGAUGCUCUAUAUUUUCUUUUUGUUUUCUCUCAGGUGGGUAUCUUGUACCCCUAAUUCUACUGUCGGACACUUGUCCAUUUUUACCUCUCGUCUCAAUUUUUUUUUCUUUCGAGGUUCCAUGCACUUGCCCCUUUUUAUUUCCUCGUAUUUUUCUUCUUUUUUUUCAGAGCACUCACCCUCCUGGAAUAAUGUAGCAAGUGGUAGUAACCAAAAUAGCUCGAGCAUUUAUUUCACAGGGAAAAAUAGGAAUGGGAUAAUGUUUUUGGCUAUUCUCUCCCGGAUAGGAGUAGAAUAAUUCUGGGUGAAUCUGGAGAUGGAAAUGAGUGGAUGUAUGUGGAUGCGUACUCCGGAGUAGAAGCAGCAUGUAUGAGUGAACGUGCAAGUGAAUCUUGAUUUUAACUGCAUGACAAGCUCCUAAGGGUCUACACAGCUUGACCACACUCAAUACUCAUAAGCAGUAAAAAGUAAAUGUAUGGUUCAUAGUUUAAUAAGCAUGUAUAUAUGGCGGUGGUAGGAUUUUAAACUUUCAUCAUAUAGGAACUCAUCAUGCAACAUUUUAAAUAUUUUCAAAGAUAAAAUUUCUCUAGAAUUCUAGCAUCUCUAGGAACAGAUAAACAGCAGCUCAACCUUCCCAUAUCAUAUCCGUUAACGACUAAGACUUUAGAUCAAGUACUCUUCCCACAAGUUUAAGUUUAGAGCAAAUCUUAAUUCAUAACAGUCAUGCCUAAACUUGAGAGAGAUUUCAAUUUUGAGAACUAGUCAUGGCAGAGCAACUAUUCAUCAUUUCCAUGUGAGAGCUUAUCAUGAGGGUUCAUAGCAAACUUUAUUUAUUUAUUUAUUUAGCAAACUAAGAAAAGAUAUAUAUAUAAGCAUAAAAUCUUUAUUUGGGUUUUUAUGAUUAUGCAUCUUUUUAUUAUUUUAACAAAGUAUAAGUAUAAACGUAGAUAGAAAUACUUAGCUGGAUAAAUGGGGGUGCUCUCCCCCAAGCUGGAUUUUGACGUAAUUUCUUUUGAUGUAGCUAGCAGGUGGCGGAGGUGUAUUUGAAUGUCGGCAGCACCCUGACAGCGAUUAGAAUGUCCUCCGUCUGCUAGUCUUCUUUGAUCCUUGAAUUCUGUGGAGCUCAAAUAGACAACAAAGCUUUGUGGAACUGGUUAAGUGUUAGCAUAAAAUCUCUUUGCCUUUAUCAUAUUGAUCUUCCUCCAAUAAAUAUUACUCUCUUUGGUAGGAUCAUAAAUUUAUGUUUAUAUUUUCAUUUCUAUAGGACAAGAAUAUAUUUAUUUUAUUUUUACGCCACCACAGUGAAUGUACUUAUGGGUUUCAUUCCACGAGCAUACUCACAUGGGGCUUAGUAUUUUUUAACAUUUUUUUAUUUUCUUUUCAAGAUAGCAUGAUUAACUAAUAAGCUAUUUAAGGAAAGUAAAUAAUUAAAGGGAAAAGGGAAUGCAGAAAGGAUAAACCGAAUUUACCUUUCGGCGAGGAUUCAAUGUUUUAAGUCUUCUGAACAAGACUUCUCACCGUGUUCAUUCUUCAGGUGCGUCAUUUGAUUCAGGUGUGGACCUUGACGUCUGCACCUCUUAAUACGGUGUCACCCAUGUUCUUUGUUUGCCCCGUAGUUCGAAGUGCGGUGUUGGCAGUAUCUUGCUCAGUGUGUUUGUGCUCGUAGUGUACCUGGUCAUAGAGACAAGGCAGAGAUCAAGUGCAUGGGCCCUGUUGGUGGAAAACACCAACAGAACCAAAAGUGUAUUUGUUCUUCUCUAACCUCAAGCAUGGUGAGCAAGACAAAGUUGAUGAAUGAUAAGUUCAUGACUGUAGCAUUUAAAACAUUUGCCGGAUCAGAUCGCUCAACGUAAUGGGAAGACAAUCUAUCUAUAUAUAUGUCUUUUUCUUUAUAUCUUCUCAAAGAUUAAAUGUGCAAGAUUUUAGCUCAUAUGACUAGGAGUGUGGGGAUCAAAGAUUAAGGGACUAAACAUGCUGAAUCAGUGGGGUUGGUUAAUUUGGAGUUAUAAAUCAUACGUGUUUGUCUCUUUUAUUCAUAUGAACGCCAGAACCAAGGAGAAGCUUAUAAAAGUGAUAGUCAAGUACCUUAAGGUGUUACCUUAAUUGAAGAGUGAUGGUACAGUCUCACCUUGUGGAAGCUUUCCUUUCUUAGUGGUUGUGCAUCGUGUUUGUAGCACCCUCCAUAGAUCAUCUCUUAUGAGCUACGUCUUCCUUGUGUAAAUUGUUAAACUUCAUGUGUCCUCUCUCUUUGUCUCUGAUGUGAGUUUAUCUCAGGACUUCCCAAGUCGAUAUUGAAAGUUUUCCUGCAGGGGUUAGUCCAAUAAAAUAUCCAAUAUCUACUAUAGCAUACUAUCGGCUCAAAAAUCAACCUAGACACCAUGUCUAAUUUGAUUUAGGAGGGCAUUUUAACCUAAGCACCAUGCUUAAUUUAAAAUCCCUUGGAAGUAAGAUCGUCAUUCCUAAACUAAGCACCAUGCUUACUUAAGAGAUAAAUGAAACUCAGAGAUUCCUUGUAUGACUCUCUCUAGUCUCUCUUUUGUGGUAUUUCUAGAUCCUUACCAAGGCAGUAAAGGUGUAUGCCUUCUCUCAAAGUAUGUGGUAUUUUUGGUAUGAGGCAUAGUAACAUUGCCUUCUCUCUCACCCUACUCUAAUAAGGCUUUUGAUAUCUGGAGCUCAUAGGUGGGAGAUAGCUAAUACAUACUUACAAGACAUUUAUUGCAUAGUCAAACCAUGGAUCCAGAGAAACAAGUCAAUAAGUCAAAUCAAGAUGUGCAUGUGUUGCGAAUGAAUGGUGUAUGGUGAUGAUGGUGAUAACAAUGGUGAAAGUCUAAUUCUACUUUUGCUCUUUUGAGGGGAUACAUACCUUCCUUGCUCUUUUGAAACUUUUGGAAAGAAUGAGAUGCUCUGUAUUUUCUUUUUCUUUCCUCUCAGGUGGGUAUCUUGUACCCCUAAUUCUACUGUCGGACACUUGUCCAUAUUUACCUCUCGUCUCACUUUUUCUUUUCUUUCGAGGUUCCAGGCACUUGCCCCUUUUUAUUUCCUCAUAUACUCUUUUUUUCUCCUUUUUUUCUUUUUUUAGAGCACUCAUCUCAUGAGAUAAUAUAGCAAGUGGUAGUGACAAGAUAACUUGAGAAUUUAUUUCACAGGGGAAAACAGGAAUAGGAGAAUGUUUUUGGCUAUUCUCUCCCGGAUUAGGAGUAGAAUAUUUUUUGGGUGGUUCUGGAGAUGGGAAUGGAUGGAUAUAUGUGAAUGCAUACUUCCGGAGUAGAAGCAGCAUGUGUGAGUGAACAUGCAAGUGAAUCUUGAUUUAACCACAUGACAAGCUCCUAAAGGUCAACACAGCUUGACCACACUCAAUGCUCAUAAGCAGUAAAAAGUAAAUGUGUGGCUCAAAGCAUGUAUAUAUGGCUGUGGUACGAAUUUAAACUCUCAUCAUACAGGAACUCAUCAUGCAACAUUUUAAAGAUUUUCAAAGAUAAAAUUCUCCAGAAUUCUAGCAUCUCUAGGAACAGAUAAACAGCAGCUCAACCUUCCCAUAUCAUAUCCGUUAACGACUUAGAUUUUAGAUCAAGUACUCUCCCCACAAGUUUAGGUUUAGAGCAAAACUUAACUAAUAACCGUCAGGCCUAAACUUGAGAGAGAUUUCAAUUUUGAGAACUAGUCAUGGCAGAGCAACUACUCAUCAUUUCCAUGUGAGAGCUUAUCAUGAGGGUUCAUAGCAAACUUUAUUUAUUUAUUUAUUUAGCAAACUAAGCAAAGAUAUAUAUAUAAGCACAAAAUCUUUAUUUGGGCUUUUAUGAUUAUGCAUCUUUUUAUUAUUUGAGUAAAGUAUAAACAUGAGUAGAACACUUAGUUGGAUAAAUGGGGGUGCUCUCCCCCAAGCUAGAUCUUGACAUAAUUCCUUUUGAUGUAGCUAGCAGGUGGCAGAGGUGUAUUUGAAUGUCAGCAGCACACUGACAGCAACUAGGAUGUCCUCCGUCUGCUAGUCUUCUUUGAUCCUUGAAUUCUGUGGAGCUCAAAUAGACAACAAAGCUCUUGGCAAGGCGUUCGGUGUUUUUUAAGUCCUCCGAACGGGACUCUCCGUUUUCUCAGUCGUCCUGGGAUUCGCUGGAUGGCGUAGUCGGUGGUUCCUGUGACGCCUGCUCUUCGUGUAUAACUAUCUUCUCUCUCCACACCUGACUCGGUGCUACGGUCUCCUUAGGACAGUUCUGUUCAAGCUGUAUAUCUUCAGACCUUACAACUUCUCCAUCAUAGUCUACCCAUCUAUCCUUGAUGAUUUUGCCUCCUCUGGAUGCGGUUGCGUUGUCUUCUUCUUGUCCUGACCUGCUUAGAGUCUUCAACUAUAUAGUUAGGGUCAGUAAAAUAGUGGCGUACCUUCUCAGAGGGGAAGUGCAUGUGGACUUCUUCGGUUCCAAUGUAGAUGAUUGCUUUAACGGUGCUGAGGAACGAUCUCCUAAGUAUGAUGGGUGGAUCGUUCUCGUCUUCUCCCAUGUCAAUAACCUUCAACCUUUCGGAAUGUCUGAUAUGCCAUCUGGAGCUGAAUGUAUGUCGGUUUUAGGGGCAUGGUUCUGAAUAGGAGCUGAUAGGUGACUGGGUUGUCCUUUUUGGUUAGGAAUGGUGACUUAAGUCGACGAUCUUGACCUCCUUGAACUGCAGUGACCAUCUUAGCUGACUCGGUACACAUUUGCUUGUUCUUGUUCCUCCUGUUGGUCCUCUUCCUUGGUUCAUGUCAGGAUUGCUCUGAGAUUUGUGUAGUCUUGCUCGUGAAGGAAAACGUCUCCUUCCUCCCUUUGAUGUAGAAACUGAUCUUGGCAGCACU
This 56483-nucleotide long non-coding RNA is filed under the name Sorghum bicolor (sorghum). RNAcentral's name for it is "long non-coding RNA (SBIC_LNC010385)". The stretch from base 23636 to 23742 matches the Rfam family "Plant small nucleolar RNA R71". The record is from RNAcentral. Lineage: Eukaryota; Viridiplantae; Streptophyta; Magnoliopsida; Poales; Poaceae.